CUUCUAAUGCUUGGCACUUCAACAUCGUCAAGAAUGAUCAAGGCCUCUACAAUUUUCAAUGGUGUCCAAAUUGUCUCACCGGAGUUUGUCCUAAGCCUUUGUGUGGGGAUGCUGGUAUUGUGGUUGAGAAUGAAAGGAGAUUGUUGGUCUUGGAUGGUCCCGCCUUUCCUUUUAUAUUUAGAAGGGUUUGAAUAGUUUGUAAUAGCCUCCAUGUGUCAAGAAUAAUCAAUGACAUCUUGUCAAUGCAUUGCUAAUUAUAAAAAUAAAUGGAGAUAUUCAAUUCUUAUAUAUAGCUUGGCCAAAUAAAGGCUUUUAAUUUUGAUGAAUAUGAUGAUAUAUAAUCACUAAUGCUUACUAUUAUUGUUAAAUUAUGGUAAAAUUAUUCUAAGGUAUAUCCAUGUGUGUUGGAUAUACUCCUUGACAAGAUUUAUUAGUGAAUAACUAUUUUCAAAUCAUAAUAAUAAUAAAAAAAAACCUUAAUUAACUCGAGUUUCCUUAUACUUGCAUGUAAGUUGAGAAAUACAAGAUAUAGAAUUCAAAUAAAAAAUGUACUCUACCUCCUGUAUAUCUAAAUGAUUUCUUUUAAAAAAUAAUAUUUCAAUCAUUAAUUUUAUUGUCCUGUGAGGGCUGAGACUGUUGUACAUGAUUAGGAUCAAGCUCAUAUGCAAAUUGUGCUUUAUAAAUUCAUCACAAAACUUUAAUUGUUGCAUGUAUAAUUAGGACCAGAUUGCACAUGCUUGUCUUGUUUGGGGUUCGGAUUUUCCAACAGCCAUGAAAUCAUGCUAGAAGUGCAGUAUAUGCCAAACUAAUGAUUGAAUUUCUUCUCUCGCCAUGUUGACUGAGAGGAACUGCUCAAACAAACUUGGGCCCGAUGUGGAUAUGGAUCUGACCUUCAAUAACGUGCCCAAAUGAGCAACUUCUAUCAUGGGUCAAUUAUGGCGGCCCAUGUGGGAAACUUCUUUCCUGGUCAAUUAAAGUGGCCCAAGUAUAGCAAUUUGACCCAAAUACGAAAUCUGAAAUUGGUUUUGUUACAAGUUCCUGCCACCUCACUAGAAUUAGCCUCACACAAACUUGAUUAAAGUAACAGAUUUUGAAUCAUACAACAUAGGAGUAAUUCUUUCCUAUUACAUGAUUGCAGAUGAGAAAUGGAACUCAUUAAAAAGACUAUAACUUUAUAUAGCAAGCAAAUCCAUUCUAACGUGUUAAUAUGAAAUUUGAGAUUUGAUUGAUUUUUUAAUUGAACCAAUAAAAUAUUGACCUGAUAAAACUUAAUUGACCUGAUGGAAUAUUUUGUGAUCUAGUUGAUUUAGUCAAAUUUAAUCUAAAUUUAAUGAUUCAACAUAAAAAACAAUUAUUUAUAAUAAAAAUAAUUAAUUUAUAUUUAUAUGUAAUCCUUGAUUACUCAACAAUUUAAGUUUUCUCAGAAAUCUAUAUGUUUUAAUAUAAACCAGCUCAGAUUUCGCAAGUCUUAUAUAAAAGAUCGAGGACUCUACUCUCCAUUCAUAGCAAAGAUUUUUUGGAUUUCCUAAUAAUAUAAUAAGAACAUUAAUAAUAAUAAACAGAAAAUGAUUUCAAUUAGGCUGUGCUGGGAGACGCUUUCUCUCUAUCUCUUACGUUACUCCUCAUCAGAAAUUCAACUUGGAAUUCCUACUUUACUGUCAUGCAUGUACAGACAGGAUAGGGUUAUCUUGUUCGUUCAAACAACAAUAACUACGCUACGAGAAAUGGACUUUUCGUUGCCGUGCCUCCAUUGUUCAAAUCUUGUAAACUGCCGCAUACCACCGUGUGUGUACCACAUUUCCUAUAAAUAUCUAGCCCACGUAUUCUAUACCUUGAAAAGCGAUCACAUUACUCAGUUUCUUACCAAGUUUUUCAGUUUCUAAGCACAAACAGCACAGUACUGUUUUCUUGUGAUGUUGAGGUUGAUUGGAAGUUUAAGCUUCCUAUGGCUACUAAUGGCCAUAUCCACCAUGGCUCAAAGCCCUCCUGUGCUUGAUGCUGGAGGUGAACCUCUUAGAAGCGGUGUAGAAUACCUUGCAGACCCUGCUGUAGCUGAUGUUGCUGGUAGUUUAACUCUGGUGGCUCGCAAUGGAUCUUGCCCGUUUUAUGUUGGUCAAGAAUCUGCUAGAUCCGGUCGAGUAGGCAUUCCAGUCAUCUUUACACCAAGAAAUCCUCAAGAGACUAUCAUCACUGAAUCUACAGAGGUCACAGUUACAUUUUCAGGGGUUUCAACUUGUGUUCGAAACACUGCAUGGACUAUAGGUGGCGAAGAUCCACAGACGAGAAGGAGAUUUGUUGUGACUGGAGCUGAACCAUCCUACUUUCAAAUUAACAGCAGGAAUCAAUUGGGAGGUUCCUAUACUUUCCAAGGGUGCCCACAAUGUGUCGACGAACCAGAUUGUGGUAGGGCAACGUGUGGAACUGCUGGUAUUCUGAUUCAAAAUGGAACGAGAUUUUUAGUCCUAGAUGGUCCUGAGUUUACUUUUAUGUUUGUAAGGGCUAGUUAGGUUCAUUGCUCUCCAUAACAAAAAUAAAUAUAUAUAUAUAUAUAUAUAUAUGGCAUUUUGCCAUUGUAAUAGUAAAUAAAAUCAAGCCUUUCAUGUUUAGAAUUAGGGCAUAAGUUGCUGAUUAUCCUCAGCAAAUUAUACUAUCGUUGUACUACUAGUAACUAAAUGGAGAUUGAUCUUUCUUUCCCUGUGUCAUUUCGAAUUGUUUGUUUGAGCAUUGAGAAUCAAUGUGCUUAGUUGUCCGAAAUUGAAGGAUUAGUUCAAUUUGUAAUAAAUUUAUUGGUUGGAGGAAACGUAAGACACAGUAGACAUCAUCGAUCAAUUCUAAUUCCAAAUUGCAGUGAAAGAAUUUUAUAAUAUAUGAUUUGGAGGUACUAUUUUUAAAGGAUGUUGUCGUCUUUGAAUUUCUUAGGUUGUUAUUAUCACGUAAUAGAAAAUUUAUCUAGAAGUUCAUGAAUUUGAGGGAGCAUCGUCCUGGACAGCGUGUUGGUGUGUAGUAUAAUUUUGAGAAGGAAUGCUGAGUCAAAUAUGAAGAUAAGCCUCUCCCUCCACAAUUUGCCCAAAAGUAUUAAAUUUAUUUCUCAAUUGAAAUUCGUUCCCAAGUACAAAACCCCUAUCGACUUUGUGAUGGAUUUCUUGUAAGACUUCAUUGCCUAAUUGGCUACUAUUUGGUAGGCUAACACAUUUAGCCGGUACCUAGCAAAUUAUACAUCAUCAAUGGCGGUAGAGGGUUGGGAUAAGAGCUAGCAAUGGACUAAUUUGAGCCUUUUUUAAAGCCUUUUUUCACGUAUAGACAGAUGGACUUUUCGUUGCCGUGCUUAUUAUGUGAUAUCUUGUAGAAAAGUCGCAUGCCUGCCAGCGCCAGAUUUCCUAUAAAAAUCUAGUUACCAUGCAUAAACCACAAAGUGCAAAGACAUUACAAAUACACCAUUUCUCAUCAAGUUCAAGGUUGAUAACUAAGCUCGUACAAUUUAAUUUUGUUGUUUGACACAGGCAGCCAUGUUGAGGUUGAUUAGAGGUUUGAGCUUCAUUUGUCUACUGAUGGCUAUAUCAUGCUUGGCUCAGGGCCCUCCUGUGCUUGAUACUGAUGGAAUUCCUGUUACGAGAGGGGUAGAAUACUAUGUAGAUCCUGCUGCAACUGAUGUUGCUGGUGGCUUAACUCUAGUGACUCGCAAUGGAUCUUGUCCAUCUUAUGUUGGUCAGGUUCCUAUUGGACCUGGUAAUGUUCAAGGCCUUCCAGUCGUCUUCUCCCCAAGAAAUUCUAGCGAGACUGUCAUCACUGAAAAUACUCAAUUCACUGUUGCAUUUUCAGCUGCUACGAUUUGUGUUACAGAUACCACAUGGGGUAUAGGCGAGGAAGACCCGGAGACGACAAGGAGACUUAUUGUGAUUGGUGAUGAACCAGCCAUCUUUAGUAUUAGCCGUAAUCAAGCACCAGGUCCCUAUACUUUUGGCUAUUGCCCAGAAUGCAACACUCCUCCGCCGUGUGGGAGGCCAAGAUGUGGGAUUGCAGGUAUUCUGGAACAGAAUGGGACGAGGUUCUUAACCAUAGAUGGCCCUGCAUUUCCUUUCAGCUUUAGAAGGGCUUGAGUCCUUCUCCUUUGCAAAAAUACAAGUAGAUGACGUUCUGGCAUUGUAAUAGUACAAAUAAAUCAUUUUAUAUUUAGAAUCGCUUAUGUUAUUCUCCAUAGAAGAAUAAGUGCCUUGGUGUCAUUGUAAUAUCAGGAAAUAAAUGGAGAUCUUUCUUGAUGCUUAGAAUUCAAGUUCGUUAUCUUUUAUAUAUAUAAAAAAGAAUAACCAUAACAACACCUGUGAUGAAAUAAAAAAAAUAAAAUUGCAAACACCAUGACCGAUAUAAAAAUAUCUCUGGAGCUGUGAUACUAUAAACCAACAAAGACAUUCAAAACUGUGAAUCAAAACUGAAGCAUAGAAUGGAGGCAUGUAGUAUAUUAAAAAGACCUAAAAAUAAAAUAGCCGAAAUAAGAUACUCUAAAAUAGCAGAUAUAAGUUAAAAUCUUACUAAUGUUUCAAGACUUCGAAACAUUGCCAAACAAUGCACAAAGAUUUAAACAGAGUUAUUGCGAAAUUCCUUGCAAAUCAAAUAAUUUCUAGCUGUGAGAUCACUAGAGGAGGCUUUAAGAAACUGCUCAAAGUGCAAAAUCUUAGAGCGUUGCGAGAAACUUCAAGACAUUAGUAUAGUUAUCUUGGGUUGGACUAGUAAUGUGAAUAGGAUUGGUUAACUGUAGCAAGACAAGAGCAUAAAGAGUUGAGUAUUCCUCAUUGUCUGAUCAUUUCUAGCAGUAAAACUAGGAAUUGUUCAAAAUGAAUAGUAUGCUCCAACCAACCCUUGUUUUAUUGUCUUUAAUUAAUUAAUUGGAUAAUAAAGACAACACAGACUUUUCUCUAAGCAUAUCCACUGUCACGACCCGAAUCCCGGAUCCAUGACCGGCACAUAGGCAAGGUUCCCCUCCAAGGUUCCAAACCUAUGCGAACCCAAACUUACAUACAAUCCUUUAAACAACUCAAUCAGAGUUUAACGCAGAAUUAACAACAAACAACUUUAUAAUAUAAUGUAAUUGUCUUAAUACAAGAGUUAAUAUAAUUUCAUAGUUUUGGAGCACUAACUCGACACAAAAGGAAGAUACAAAUUACAACUAAAAGGCAGGUUCGGAAGGUUCAACAAAAGUAACCUGCUAUCAAGCUAUAAGCCUGAAAAGGAUAAAUAAUGAGAGGGUGAGUUCAACAACUCAGUGAGUAGAUAACGUUCAAUACACACACACGAGGUAAUAUAACAAUGAGAAAUAUAUAUACAAGUAUGGCUUUAGUUCUUAUACGAAGGUUUAUCAAAUAGGCCAUAACAAGAAUAUCAUAUGGUAAAACUCGUCAGAAAAUCAAAAUGCAAUGAGCAUGAGGCUCCGUACUGUGGGAUGAUCAGUCCACACAGGUUGGUGACUCCCCCGACCAACUAGGGUUCAGAUACGAUGUGCACAAAGACUAACACUACCCUGUUAGCAUGGGUAUUCUGACUGACAUACCAUAGGUUCAUAAUCAUAAUCAAACAAACAUAUUCAUAUCUCAAAGCUCAACUCAUGACAUCCAUCAAAUGAGGAGCUAUCAAUUCAGAAGUCAAAUCAUAUUGGUUCAUAUCAAGAAAUCAGAUUCAAUAAUUGAUCAUGCUUUAUCAUAUCAAGGAUAAUAAUCAGCAUAUAUAUUAUCAAGAAGCAUGAUCCAAUUCAUAUUAACAAAUCAAAUAUUUAUAAUAUUUCUCAUGCAUAUGGAAAAUUAUCCACUCACCUGACUCAAAAGCAAACUGCACACACAAGCUGAAACCGAAGGAAAUUCUACUGACGUCCUGCCGGUAGAAUAUCAGGAUUAUCUGAAUACAAAGGAGACAUAUUCAAAAACGACUCGAAAGAACAUUUAACCUAUUUAAUACACUUAACUAAGGGUGUAUUCCGUAACCCUAUAUAUUUUUGAACUAACUAGUCAAUUUUCUUAAAAACCCAAAAUCUAACGGUUUUCCCGAAAUCUAAUCCAUAAUAAAAACAACUAAUAAAAUUGGUAAUAAUUCACUAAAUAACCCUUAAUUAUUCAUCAAACUAAUCUGCAAAAGCUAAUAUUACAGCUAGGGACUAAUCUGGAAUUUUUCCAUAUUUUUAGGGCCAAAUUGUAACUUUUGUCAAAUGGAGGACCAAACUGAAAUUUGUCAUAAAUCCAUGAAUAUACUGAAAUUCUGACCUUAAUUAAUCCUCAAUUCUGUCCAGGAUGUAUCAUUAUGCUUCAGGGAUCAUUCUGGAAUUUUACUAAAUUUUUAGGGUCAAAUCGUACUUUUUGUCAAAUUGGAGGACUAAAUUGAAAGUGUUAAAUUCUCUUAUCUAUACAGUAAUUAUGUCCAUAAUUCAUAUGUUAUUCUGUUCAGAAUCUCGGAAUAUGCUCCAGGGACCAAUUUGUAAUUUUCCAAAGUUCGGGGACUAAACUGUAAUUUUCGGAAAUUGAGGGACCAAAUUGAAUUUUCGUCAUCUUCAACCUCCAGUCCAGAUUUUAACAGAAACCCCACUGUUCUCCCCUGAUUUCUAACUCAAUUUUCACCAUUUACACAAUUCUAUAACUCAAAAUCAUCAUAAUCUUCCAUAAUCAACUAAAUCAUCAAUUAAACACAACAAUCAACCCCUAACCUUCAAUUUAAUUCAUCAAUUUAAAUCAAACACAAAUUCUCAAAACCCUAACAUUCAUAAAAACUGAAAUUAAAGCUUAAUUAACAUAUUAUACACAUUAAACAACCUAAAUCUUACCUUUUUCACUUAUUUCCUCCAAAACUCUUCCUUUUUCCCUUAUUUUCCCUUCUUUUCUCUUCUUCUUCUUUCUCCUUCUCUCUCACGGUUCUCUCUCUAAUAUUCAGAUCACAUUUUUUUUUUUUUUACUUCCUAUUUAUAUUUAUCAACUAUUUAUCCAAUUACUACUAUACCCUUAUUUAAUUUAUUCAUACAUCUAAGCCUUCAAGGGCUUUAUUGUAAAAUCCUAUCUUAUUAAUUUCAAAACAUUACAAUCUCCCCACCUUAUAAAAGUUUCGUCCUCGAAACUUAAUAGAAAAGAUUGAAUACUUACCGAGAUUAUCGAAAAGAUGAGGAUACUCCUCACGCAUCUUAUCCUCGAGCUCCCAUGUCGCUUCCUCACGUGAAUGACCUUUCCAUUGCACUUUCACUGAAGCUAUGUCCUUCGACCUAAGCUUCCUCACUUGUCGGUCGACUAUAGCUUCCGGUUGCACCUCAUAAACCAUAUCAUCCCUCAAGUCAAUAGGAUGAACCUCUAACACAUGCGAUGGAUCUGACAUAUAUUUCCUUAACAUGGAAACAUGAAAUACCGGAUGAAUAGCAGACAAGUUUGGUGGUAAUGCUAACCGAUAAGCAACUGCCCCAACUCUCUCCAGAAUCUCAUACGGUCCAAUGAAUCGAGGACUCAACUUGCCUUUCUUCCCAAACCUGAAUACUCCUUUUGUAGGUGAUACUUUUAAGAACACACAAUCACCCACUGAAAACUCUAAGUCACGCCUUCUUCUAUCUGCGUAACUUUUAUGUCUACUCUGAGCUGUUUGAAGCUUCUUUCUAAUUACCUCAAUCUUCUCUGAGGUAAUCUGAAUCAACUCCGGUCCCAUUAGCCUCUUCUCACCAACCUCAAACCAACAAACUGGUGAUCUACACUUCCGACCAUACAAAGCCUCAUAAGGUGCCAUCUCUAUGCUAGCCUGAUAACUGUUGUUGUAAGCAAAUUCCACUAAUGGUAGGAACUUACUCCAACCAACUCCAAAAUCCAUAACACAAGCCCUUAACAUAUCCUCCAAGGUCUGAAUAGUCCUCUCAGACUGACCAUCUGUCUGAGGGUGAAAAGCUGUACUCAACUGCACCUUAGUACCCAUAGCUUCUUGAAAUUUCACCCAAAACCGCGAUGUAAACUGUGGACCUCUAUCAGACACUAUCGAGAUUGGCACUCCAUGCAACCGUACAAUCUCACUAAUAAACAAUUCCGCCAACUUUGCAUAUCCAUAAGUAAUCUUAACUGGCAGAAAAUGGGCUGAUUUUCAACCUGUCAACAAUCACCCAUAUCGAAUCAUAACCCUCCUGACUCCUAGGCAAUCCUGUCACAAAGUCCAUUGUGAUCCUUUCCCACUUCCAUUCUGGAAUCAACAAUGGUUGUAACAAUCCAGGAGGUUUCUGGUGUUCACCCUUUACCCUCUGACAGGUCAAACACCUAGAAACAAAAUCUGCUACAUCAGCCUUCAUCCUAUUCCACCAAUAACACACCUUAAGGUCUUUAUACAUCUUGGUGGAACCUGGAUGCAUUGUGUAAACUGUCUGAUGUGCCUCUAUCAUCAAUUCUCUCCUCAGAUCAUCAACAUCAGGUACACAAAGCCUAUCCCUAUAUCUCAGCACAUCAUCAUCACCAAUCACAAAACUUGCAGCCUUACCCUGCUCAACCUCAUUUCUAAUCCUGAGUAGUGAAUCAUCUUUCUUCUGAGCUGCUUUUAUCUUAUCAAACAAAUCUGACUUAACCUGAAAAUGAGCAAUCAUUGCUCCAGCUUCACUAAGAUCAAAUCUGACUCCUUCAUCCACUAACUCAUGCAGCUCCCUAAUCAGAGGUCUUCGUACCUCCUGAAUAUGAGCUAAGCUCCCUGAUGAUUUUCUACUCAAAGCAUCGGCAACUACAUUUGCCCUACCCGGGUGGUACUGUAUGGUACAAUCAUAAUCCUUCAGUAGUUCCAUCCAUCUCUCUGCCUCAGGUUUAGAUCCUUUGCUGAAAGAUGUAUUUCAAACUCUUGUGAUCUGUAAAGAUCUCACAAGUUUCACCAUACAAGUAGUGCCUCCAAAUCUUCAAAGCAAAAAUUACAGCCGCCAUCUCUAAAUCAUGUGUAGGAUAGUUCUGUUCAUGCUUCUUCAGCUGUCGUGAAGCAUAGGCAAUAACCUUGCCAUGCUGCAUUAGAACACAUCCUAACCCCACUCUCGAAGCAUCACAAUACACUGUGUAACCACCAGAACCUGAUGGUACUGCUAGAAUAGGCGCUGUAGUCAAUCUCUCCUUCAACUCUAAGAAACUUUUCUCACAAGCUUCAGACCACUGAAACUUAACAUUUUUCUGCGUUAACUUAGUCAAUGGUGCAGAAAUUCGAGAAAAGUUCUCCACAAACCUCCGAUAGUAGCCGGCCAAACCUAAGAAACUUCUAAUCUCUGUCGCCGAAGUAGGCCUAAGCCACUGCUUAACUGCUUCAAUCUUUUGAGGAUCAACCUCAAUCCCAUUCCUUGACACUACAUGCCCAAGAAAUGCUACACUCUCCAACCAAAACUCACUCUUUGAGAACUUGCCAUACAACUGAUGAUCUCGCAGAGUUUGAAGCACCAUUCUCAAAUGCUGCUCAUGCUCCUCUCUAGACCUCGAAUACACCAAAAUAUCAUCAAUAAAAACUAUCACAAAUCGAUCAAUAAAUUGGCCAAACACUCUAUUCAUCAAGUCCAUAAAAGCUGCUGGUGCAUUCGUCAACCCAAAAGACAUCACUAAAACUCAUAAUGACCAUACCGAGUUCUAAAAGCUGUCUUUGAAAUGUCUGCCUCCCUAAUCCUCAACUGAUGAUACCCAGAUCGAAGAUCGAUCUUAGAAAAGAAUUGAGCUCCCUGUAACUGAUCAAACAAAUCAUCUAUACGAGGGAGUGGGUAUCUAUUUCGAACUGUCACCCGAUUCAAUUGCCUAUAAUCUAUACACAACCUCAAUGACCCAUCUUUCUUCUUCACAAACAACACCGGAGCUCCCCAAGGGGACACACUUGGUCGGAUAACUUUUUAUCCAAUAAAUCCUGCAGCUGCUCCUUUAACUCCUCAAUUCUGCUGGCGCCAUUCUAUAUGGUGCCAUUGAUAUUGGUUCAGUGCCCGGAACCAAAUCAAUACAAAACUCAAUCUCCCUAUACGGAGGCAAUCCAGGUAAGUCAUCGGAAAGACAUCGAUAAACUCUCUUACUAUAGGGACUUCCUCUAACUGGGAACUUCUUUCUCUACAUCCACUAUAUAUGCUAGGUAGCACUGUACCCCUUUUCGGGCCAUUUUCCUCGAGAUAGCCGACAACAUAAUUGAUGGAGACCCAAUCUUAUCUCCUUGAAAUACCAACCCAACUUCUUGAUCUAGAUCAAACAUUAUUUUCUUACCCCAACAAUUUACCGAAGCCCUAUGCUUAGCCAACCAAUCCAUUCCCAAAAUCACAUCAAAAUCAACCAUAUCUAAGACAUUUAAGUCUCCCAUAAAGAUCUUAUCUCCAAUCUCUAUUUCACAAUCCAGAUACACAUACUUUACUAAUAUUAACUCAUCUAAGGGAGUGGAGACUGAAAUGGGGAUUUUAACAAGGUUGGUUGUUUAUCUAACCUCAUGGCAAAAUAUGGGGACACAAACGAAUGAGUUGCACCCGUAUCAAACAAAACUUUUGCUUCAAAAGAGCAAACAGGAAGAAUACCUGAAACAACUGUGUUGGAUGCCUGAGCAUCCUGCUGAGUCAAGGCAAAAACUCUGGCAUGCCCCUGACCCUGCUGUAUCUGACCUCUAUCACCUGCACCCCGACCUCUUUGACCACGGCCACCAAAACCUCUACCCCCAUGAGCCACAGACUGGCUCGUCGAUGGUGCCUGAAUAGGCUGCUGGACUGAAGCAGAUAACCCCGAAGUGGACAACUGUCUCCUCGGGCACUCUCUAAUCUUAUGACCUAUCUGGCCACAACUAAAACAAGCCCCGUCCUUCUGUAGCACUCUGCACUGUUAUGACCUCCUCCACAGUGCUGACACAAAGAACUAUCCCCAGAUGAAACAAAUGAACUACGAGGUGCAGUCUGAACUAAACUCUGGGCACCACUACUGCCACUCUGACUGCCUGAGCCACUAACUGAUGGUCUCUGUCUAAACCUCCUCUGAACCCAUGAGCCCUGACGGCCACUUCGUCCCCUAAACGGACCUGCACUUAAUCCCUGUUGCUAAAAGACUGACCCUCUUCUCUAGGCCUCUUAGACUGGCCAACAGUCAUGUCCUCUAUUUCACGCGCCUCUAGCAAUCUGGCGCUAUCAACAGCUGAGGAGUAGGAUGGAAACACUUGUGGCGCCAAUACCAUAUACAGAGAGGAUUUGAGUCCUCUAAUGAAUCUCUUCACCCUCCAUUCCUCAGUGGGUAGAAGAUAUUCUGCAUACCUAGACAGUUGAGUGAACUUCAGAUCAUACUCCUCCACUGUCAUGCUCCCUUGAGAUAGCCUCUCAAACUCAUAAAGUCGAGCAUCCCUGAUGCUCUGAGGGAGAAACCUGUCUAAAAACAUGGAGCUAAACUCCUUCCAUGUCCACUGAGCCUCUACUGGUCUUGCUCUUUCCCUAGACUCAAACCAAGAGAUUGCCACAUCUCCUUCCAACCUGAACGAUGCCAAACUCACAGCUCGGUGGUCUGUACAUCCCAAAGCUUUACAUCGUCGCCAAAUGUCAUCUAGGAACUUUGAGGAUCCUCUGAACUGUCUAUCCCAGUAAAAAUAGGAGGUGCCAACUUCAUAAAGUCAUCCAAUGGCACAUUAACUCCCUGAACAGUGUGGGAUGUCGAGGGUACAUCUCUAUCCCUCAUUCUGUCUCUCUCCAUAGUAAACUCUAUCCAAGUCUGCACAACCUGGCUAAGUCGCUGAACCUCUGUAACAGGCUCAGGGUCAGCUACCCCCACACCUGUUUCAUCAACCAUAUCUUCCUCUUCUAUCUCCUGAGGCUCUUCCUCCACUGGUGGAGGUACCUCAUCAACAUGUUGAGGCACGGGUGCACCACGCCUCCUUCUCUGCCUUGCAGUUAUCAACUGCAUAAUAGGGACAUCAUCCUGAUCAUCAUCUACCCUAAGAGUAUCAGUUCUUCGUCUAUUCCUCGGCAUUUCCUAAAAUAAAAGAGAGAUCACUUAAGUCAUGCUAGAACAAUAGCAUGAUAAUUAUCUCAGAAUUAUAGGAAAGCAUAUCUAUCACAAGGAAGAAGACAUACUUGAUGAGAAUUUAAAAUUUCAAAAACAACAAACAAGACGAUACGGAUCCUAAUGCUCCACUUAUUAUGAAAUUAAUUAUAUUAUUGUUUCUUUAACCUAAAGCUCUGAUACCAAGUUUGUCACGACCCGAAUCCCGGAUCCAUGACCGGCACAUAGGCAAGGUUCCCCUCCAAGGUUCCAAACCUAUGCGAACCCAAACUUACAUACAAUCCUUUAAACAACUCAAUCAGAGUUUAACGCAGAAUUAACAACAAACAACUUCAUAAUAUAAUGUAAUUGUCUUAAUACAAGAGUUAAUAAUUUCAUAGUUUUGGAGCACUAACUUGACACAAAAGGAAGGUACAAAUUACAACCAAAAGGCAGGUUCGGAAGGUUCAACAAAAGUAACCUGCUAUCAAGCUAUAAGCCUGAAAAGGAUAAAUAAUGAGAGGGUGAGUUCAACAACUCAGUGAGUAGAUAACGUUCAAUAUACACACACGAGGUAAUAUAACAAUGAGAAAUAUAUAUACAAGUAUGGCUUUAGUUCUUAUACGAAGGUUUAUCAAAUAGGCCAUAACAAGAAUAUCAUAUGGUAAAACUCGUCAGAAAAUCAAAAUGCAAUGAGCAUGAGGCUCCGUACUGUGGGAUGAUCAGUCCACACAGGUUGGUGACUCCCCCGACCAACUAGGGUUCAGAUACGAUGUGCACAAAGACUAACACUACCCUGUUAGCAUGGGUAUUCUGACUGACAUACCAUAGGUUCAUAAUCAUAAUCAAACAAACAUAUUCAUAUCUCAAAGCUCAACUCAUGACAUCCAUCAAAUGAGGAGCUAUCAAUUCAGAAGUCAAAUCAUAUUGGUUCAUAUCAAGAAAUCAGAUUCAAUAAUUGAUCAUGCUUUAUCAUAUCAAGGAUAAUAAUCAGCAUAUAUAUUAUCAAGAAGCAUGAUCCAAUUCAUAUUAACAAAUCAAAUAUUUAUAAUAUUUCUCAUGCAUAUGGAAAAUUAUCCACUCACCUGACUCAAAAGCAAACUGCACACAAAGCUGAAACCGAAGGAAAUUCUACUGACGUCCUGCCGGUAGAAUAUCAGGAUUAUCUGAAUACAAAGGAGACAUAUUCAAAAACGACUCGAAAGAACAUUUAACCUAUUUAAUACACUUAACUAAGGGUGUAUUCCGUAACCCUAUAUAUUUUUGAACUAACUAGCAAUUUUCUUAAAAACCCAAAAUCUAACGGUUUUCCCGAAAUCUAAUCCAUAAUAAAAACAACUAAUAAAAUUGGUAAUAAUUCACUAAAUAACCCUUAAUUAUUCAUCAAACUAAUCUGCAAAAGCUAAUAUUACAGCUAGGGACUAAUCUGGAAUUUUUCUUAUAUUUUUAGGGCCAAAUUGUAACUUUUGUCAAAUGGAGGACCAAACUGAAAUUUGUCAUAAAUCCAUGAAUAUACUGAAAUUCUGACCUUAAUUAAUCCUCAAUUCUGUCCAGGAUGUAUCAUUAUGCUUCAGGGAUCAUUCUGGAAUUUUACUAAAUUUUUAGGGUCAAAUCGUACUUUUUGUCAAAUUGGAGGACUAAAUUGAAAGUGUUAAAUUAUCUUAUCUAUACAGUAAUUAUGUCCAUAAUUCAUAUGUUAUUCUGUUCAGAAUCUCGGAAUAUGCUCCAGGGACCAAUUUGUAAUUUUCCAAAGUUCGGGGACUAAACUGUAAUUUUCGGAAAUUGAGGGACCAAAUUGAAUUUUCGUCAUCUUCAACCUCCAGUCCAGAUUUUAACAGAAACCCCACUGUUCUCCCCUGAUUUCUAACUCAAUUUCACCAUUUACACAAUUCUAUAACUCAAAAUCAUCAUAAUCUUCCAUAAUCAACUAAAUCAUCAAUUAAACACAACAAUCAACCCCUAACCUUCAAUUUAAUUCAUCAAUUUAAAUCAAACACAAAUUCUCAAAACCCUAACAUUCAUAAAAACUGAAAUUAAAGCUUAAUUAACAUAUUAUACACAUUAAACAACCUAAAUCUUACCUUUUUCACUUAUUUCCUCCAAAUCUCUUCCUUUUCCCUUAUUUUCCCUUCUUUUCUCUUCUUCUUCUUCUCCUUCUCUCUCACGGUUUCUCUCUCAAUAAUUCAGAUCACUUUUUUUUUUUUUUACUUCCUAUUUAUAUUUAUCAACUAUUUAUCCAAUUACUACUAUACCCUUAUUUAAUUUAUUCAUACAUCUAAGCCUCAAGGGCUUUAUUGUAAAAUCCUAUCUUAUUAAUUUCAAAACAUUACAUCCACACACAUGAUAUUGAAAGUAGAUGAUUUUUUGGGAAAUUCAUUUGCUUUAAUUGUGGGUAUAGACUAGAAAUUUGGUCAAACUAAAUAUUCCUGCUACCUAGUUCCUGAUAAGUAACCAGCUCAAAGAAUUUGGAAGCGAUCAUUAAUUUUGUUCCGGUUGUGAAUAGUUCUCCUCCUCCUUCGAUUACUUGCCCCAACAGAUCUCUUCAUAAUUAGUCCAUCCAUGAGACAGUAUUUCAAAGCUUACAAUCUAAGUAUUUCAGCUGCCAUUUUUUUGGUUUUACACUGUUCCUCGAGUUAAUUUUGUACAACGUUUGAUUAGUAUCGCCGAACAAAUAAAAAUAAAAACAGAUACAAAAAAAAAAAUUGUUUGGUUAAAAGGAUAAGAACAAAAACAUAAAAUAAAUAUAUAUCUAUGGGAUAAAUAUAUAAUGAAUUUAUAUUUUUUAAAAAUUAAAUGGCACAUGGGAGCAUAUUUCCUCUGUUUUCAUCCUUCGAUUACUUGCUCCAAGAGAUCUCUUCAUAAUUUAGUCCACCCAUGAGACAAUAUCCCUAAGUCUAUUAAGGACACCGUUAACUGGAUUCAUUAGAUAACAAUGCAACAGAUGAAAAUGGAUAAUUACCCAAGGACUUUUUUGUUGCCGUGCCGUAAUAGAGAAAUGUGGUAUGUCGACUCCUUCCACUAUAAAAAGAUGGCAAAUCUCAAGCAAAGGAUUACAAAUUGCUCAUAGCAUCUUAAUUUUAAGAACCAGCACAUAUAAUAUUUACUUCUUUUUUGUUGUGCGAGAUAGCUAGCUCUAGGCAGCCAUGUUGAGAUUGAUUGGAAGCUUGAGCUUUAUAUGGCUACUCAUGGCCACAUCCACAGUGGCUCAAACCUGGCCUGCUGUGCUUGAUGCAGAUGGCCAACCUCUUAGAAGUGGUGUAGAAUACUACGUACUUCCAGCUGCAACUGAUGUUGCCGGUGGCUUAACCCUUGUUAAUCUUAACAACGGUUCAAUAUGUCCACUCUUUGUUGGUCAAGAGCCUCUUGCACCUGUUGUGUCCCGAGGCACUUCAGUCAUAUUCACACCACGGGUUGCGGAUACUGUUGUAAGGGAGACAAGGGACUUCACUGUUGCAUUCACUGGUGUAACAAUUUGUGCUCAGUCUACUACAUGGAUGGUCGGUGAGCAGAAUCCAGAGACAAGGAGGAGGUAUAUCUUGGCUGAAACGGAUCCUGAUCCUUCUUCUGAUGCUUGGCACUUCAACAUCGUCAAGAAUGAUCAAGGCCUCUACAAUUUUCAAUGGUGUCCAAAUUGUCUCACCGGAGUUUGUCAUACGCCUUUGUGUGGGGAUGCUGGUAUUGUGGUUGAGAAUGAAAGGAGAUUGCUGGUCUUGGAUGGUCCCGCCUUUCCUUUUAUAUUUAGAAGGGUUUGAAUAGUUUGUAAUAGCCUCCAUGUGUCAAGAAUAAUCAAUGACAUCUUGUCAAUGCAUUGCUAAUUAUACAAAUAAAUGGAGAUCUUUAAUCCUUGACUAAUUAAAUAUAUAGUCUGGGUAAUAAAUAAAGGCUUUCGAGUUUUGAUGUAUAUAAUAAUUGCCGCGGGUGCACCGUGGCAUCGUCGUGCUGUGGCAAAGCUUUUAUUGUGCCCGAGGAGGUAAUUAUAAAAACUCAUGAUUAAAAUUUAAGAGUGCCUAUUUAGUAUUAUGGUUGUUAGAAAUCUAUGAUCUAUAAGAAUCUAGAUAAAAAAUUAGUUAUGUAAGGAGAAGAUAUAUUACCCUCAGUAUAUCUUACAUAAGGUAAAUUGUAUUGUUAUUUCAUUGUUUUUCUAGGUCGGGUUUCUAUUCGUUAGUAUUUUCUAAGGUUUAAGGCAGAUCUUUCUUGGCAAGAAAGUCUAUAUUUCAUCGGGUUAAACCUAACCAUUCUAAAAUCCAAACUUUAAUAUCGCAUUUAUUUUACAUCUUGUAUCUUUAAUAUAUUUGAGGGUGUAUACUAUUGUGCAGUUUUACACCUUACAAAUUAUUAAAGUUUAUAUCUAAACCCUAAAAAGAUUUUAAAAAAAAUGUUUUUGAUAUUUUAAUCAAACCCUAAUAAAUAAUUAUAAACUAGUUAUGAUAUUCAUUUUGCAUUUUAAAACAUAAGAAAGAUACAAUUUUUAUUUUUAUGAAAAUAUGCUUGGAAACAUUUUAGGAUUUGGUUGUAUGUAUGAAAACAAAAUAUUUUUUUGUUUUUUUUUCUUUUAAAAAAUAAAAUUAAUUUUAAAAAAUUGAGAUUUUUUUUAGUAAUAUUUCAGAGAAAGCCAGACAUUUUAAUACAAAUUUGAAUCUUAUAGUGUAAAAAUAAAACUCAAUGUUACACAAAAUUGAUAGAAAACACCCAAGAAAAUCACAAAUUUUUUAAAGAAGUUUUUUGGAAUUUUUUGUUUUUUUUAAUAUAUAAUAUUAAAUAUUACAAUAUAUAUUAUAUUGUUCUAAAAUAUAGGCUGGGCCAACCCAGCUAACUACGCUGAUCUUAAACCAAAAGGGUUAGGCUGACCUUGGCCCAAUAAGUAAUUGGCCUAUAUCAACUCAAAAAGAUUGGGGAUGAAAAUUAAAAUUUUAAUUAAAUUAAAGGGCAACCAUAAUUUUUUUAUUGGAGAUUUAAAUUGAAAAUAAAAAUAACUUUAACAAAAUGAUAAAAAAAAAAAUCAAAAGAAUAAUGAUCAAAUUGAAAAAAAAUAUAUAUAUAUAUGAUAUAAAUUUGGAUUGAAUGAUGAAAUUGAAAGCUAUUAAAACUCUUACAAAAAGGUCAGGAAAAAAAAUAAAAAUAAGUACCAAGUCGAAAAAAAAUAAUAUAUAACAAAUUAGGGUUGAAUGUUGAAAUUAAAAAUAAAUAAAAGUUUUAUAAAAAGAAUUAUGUGUUUUAAAAUAUAAUUUCAUAAUUCACCAAUCUCAUCUUCUUUUUUAUUUAUUUAUUUUUAAUUUUAUCUUUCAAUAUUAGAUUAUUUUGAUAACUGUGCUUCUUAUUUUUUUUCUUAUUUUCUUUAUAUUAAAUUAUAUAUUGGUCUCGUUGAUUUAGCUUUUUUUCCUUGAUUUCAACCUUUAAAAUUAGAUAUAUUGAAAGUAGAGCUUCAUAAAUUUUCUCAAAUUACUUUAUAUAAUGUGCUUUAUAUAUUUUUUUAUGUUAUUUUCUAAUUGAUUUUAUUUAUUUAUUUUAUAUGAGGUUAUCUCAAUAUGUUGAUCUGACUCACGAGUUUAACAGAUUGACUAAUGUAGAUUUUUUUUCAUUUUUUUUUAUGUUUAAUUUUUUCAAAUUCUUCCCUUAAUAUUAAGUUAAUUAGGAAUUUGCAUUCAUAAUUUAUAUUUAUUUGCUUUAUAUAAACUUAUUAUAAUCUUAUAAUCCGAGUUAUAAAUUUGAUAAGUUAACUCAGAUCAAUUCGAUAUGUUAUUAUUCUAAUAGUUAAAAAAAUAUCAUAUAAUAUAUCAUUGUUCAAAUAUUUUAAAAAAUGUAUUUUUCAAUAUAUAUCAUAUUUUAUAAAUCACAUCAACAACACUUAGGUAAUUUAUUUAUAUUAAAAAACUGAUCUGAAUUACGGUGUAUCACCGGUCAUUUUGUUAGAAGGCUAACAAUCGUAGUCUUGGUACUAAAACAAGAUAUUGGAAAUAGAAGAAAACGUGCCUCAACUCUCUUGCAUUACACACACACACACACACACACAUAUAUAUAUAUAUGAAGCUGUAAAAACAGAGAAAUACUUCGGGGCUAAGAAUUGGGAUAGUCCUCAUUAAUCGCCUAUUUUCCAUGCUGUAUCUGCCUAAUUUUGGAAAACAUGAUGAUGCAAUCUUUUCUAUUUUGGUUAUGUGAUUCUUCAAUGACCAACUCUGACUAGAAAACUAAUUAACAGGUGAGGACAGCUAAGGCAAUAACCUGCUGGUAGUUCAAUAUAGGCAUGCAUGUUCUUCUCUUCCCCGCGAGAAAUCUUAGUUUCACCCUCUCCUUUGUAACAAAAAAGAAAACAUCUAUGAUAUUGUAACAAAGAAAAUGUUGCAGCCAACAAAUUAGAUAAUAUCUCACUUUCUAGCUUGGUUAUAAUGCCUGCCUUCUCAAAAUUUCCUUUUCAUCAAUCUCCCUAAUUUGUUUUGGUUCUGAAUUACAAGUUUUGAAAUACUUCCAAUCGCCAUGGCUGAAUCUGGAUAUUUAGUAAAUCGUACCGAGGAUGGUUCGGAAGCAUGUUACUACGUAAAUCAAACUGGUGGCAAUUAUUUCCAAAGUACAAGUGCUUUGACGACAUCCCUCCCUCUCUUUGUCCUCCAACUAUCGGUUGUCCUGUUCACCACUCGCCUUCUCCUCUUGAUCCUCAGGCCUCUGCGACAACCCAGCAUAGUUGCUCUUAUAAUUGUAAGGUCGAACUUGUUAUAUAAUUGCUGUUUCAUGGUUCAUUUUGUAGGCAAAUUAUUAAUGGUGAUUGCUCUUUUAUCCUUCUUCAUGCUAAUACAAUAUGAUUCGUAAAUAUAUAGAUCAAAACUUGUGGAAAAACAAUGUUUUAAUUUUAACUAAAAGGACUUGCACUACAUUUACCAAAAGUUAUUUUUUUCUUGUGCAUUUUAUCGAAUUUGAGUCAUGAUACCUUGUAAGCAACUAGGCUAAACCUCCAAGUAUGUGGGAAGAACGAUGAUGUGUGUAGCCAAGCAACGGAAAUAACUUUCAUCUAAUUAUUGCAUGCAUUUGUAGUAUAGUGUUCUUUUCCAUCUCAAAAGUCUUGAGUUUAAAUCUCUCUUUUGUAACAAGAAAAAAAAAACAUAUGCAUGCACAUUGGAUAAUUGAUGGUAUCAAUUAUGUUGGAUUGUGUAAAUAUGCACAGGCUGGGGUGUUGCUAGGCCCAUCAGCACUUGGAGCUUCCCCGUUGUUUUUCGAUCACGUCCUUCCUCUUAAGGCUGUCAAGGUGUUGGAAACAUUUGCAAACUUGGCACUCGUUUACUAUAUGUUCCUAUUUGGUUUAGAAAUGGACCUAAAACCCAUCAUGAACAGUGGAUCGGAGGCUAUUCGCAUCGCCAUUUCUGGAAUUCUGAUUCCACUUGGCUUUGGGUUUGGCUUAUUUUAUCUAUUACAACUGCUUGAUAGUAAUGCAAAGGAAAUCAGCAGCUUUAAGGGCUCCAUAUUCUGGGCUAUUACUCUCACUGCUACCAACUUCCCUGACGUUGCUCAAGUUCUCACAGACCUCAAGCUCCUUCGCACCGAUAUAGGAAGAUUGGCCAUGUCUUCAGCUGUUAGCAGUGACUUCUGUACUUGGAUUCUUCUUGUGGUUGCAAUGUCAUUGCUCAAUGCUCACCCAUAUUAUGUUUUGCCAUCUAUCCUUGCUUUCGUUUUACUCUGUGGUUUUGUGAUCCGUCCGGUAAUCUCAAAGAUAGCUAACCAUGCUGUCAAAGGAGACGACUUCACUGAGCAACAUAUAUGGUUUAUUUUGGGUUGGAUUGUGUUUUUCGGAUUCAUCACUGAUGCUUUUGGUUUGCAUUCUAUGGUUGGUAGUUUCAUGUUAGGAGUUAUUAUGCCUCGUCGAGAUGUUAUCAGAAUGAAACUAAUGGAAAGGCUUGAUGAUUUUGUCUCUGGAAUUAUGAUGCCCCUCUUCUUCUUAACCUCAGGGACCCGAACUGAUGCUGGUUUUAUGCUGAAAGAAACUCCAUGGUAUGCAAUAUUUAUAAUCAUAUUCCUUAGUUUUGGAGCAAAGAUACUGAGCACAUUGCUCGUCUUUCUGCUCCACAACAAGCCAAUGGAGGAUGGUUUUGCUCUUGGAGUAAUAAUGAACACUAAAGGAGUUAUGUCGAUCAUUAUCAUUAAUGCCGGCCGGAAUAUCAAGGUAUGAACCUUGCAUGUUCUGCAGAAUUCUCAUAUUUCCUAUAUAGUAUUUGAGAUCAAGAAUUUCUUAAUUACAGAAAUUAACUAAAGAUCAUCUCAUUUCCCAGGUUCUAAACAACCAAACAUUUACCAUAAUGGUGUUUUCAGCCUUGGCCAUGACUUGUUUGGUGGAGCCAAUAGUGGCUGCCACAUACAAGCCUAGGAAAAAAUUGCUUAGAUACAAGCACAGGACCAUUGAGAGUGUACUGGCAAAUGGGGUAGAAUUUAAAAUCCUUGCAUGUGUUCUUUCAAAUCGUGAUGCACCAUGCAUGAUUAGCCUCCUUGAAGCCUCUAAUGCCAGCCCAGACUUCCCUAUCUGUGUCAUCGCCGUCCACUUGGUAGAGCUCACUGGACGGAACACAGCGAUGCUAAUUGUUCAUGACCACUCCAUGACAAGCAUGAGCAAUCCUGUCCGAACAAAAUCAGAAUCGGACCAAAUUAUCUUUACUUUUAAUUCAUACGAGAAGAGAAACGGAUCUGUGUCGGUUCAAACAAUCACUGCAAUUUCACCUUAUGAGAAUAUGCAUGAGGAUAUUUGCAGCCUUGCAUUGGACAAGCGAGUUUCCCUCAUCAUCAUACCAUUCCAGACAGUCUUAACUGCAGACGGCCGAGUAGAGGAUGCAAAAUCGACUUUUCCAGCUAUGAACCAAUAUGUGCUCGAAAACGCAACGUGUUCUGUGGGUCUACUGGUUGAUCGUGGACUCGGUUCCAUCAUGCAAACAGGUCCCGCAAGGAACAGUUCUAGUUCAAAAGGGCAUCGAAUUGCUAUGAUCUUCAUUGGUGGCCCUGAUGACAGGGAGGCAUUGGCUUAUGCGUGGCGAAUGGCAGGGCAUCCUGGAAUAAGUUUAACGGUGCUUCGAUUUCUUCCAGGUAGAAUAGCAGCACAAUCCACUCCAGAACACAGCUCAAACGGUCAUGAUGAGUUAUUCAGUUCCAUGGCGAUUGAGGAGAGGGAAAAGAGGCUUGAUGAUGAUUAUACAUAUGAGUUUAUGUUCAAGACUCUUGAUGAUGAGUCCAUUACUUACACAGAGAAAGUGGUGAAUAACGGGGAUGAAACUCUUGCGGAAAUUAGACGAAAUGAUGCAGAUUUUGAUCUCUAUAUAGUUGGAAGAGGGGAGAAAACACAAUCAGUGCUCACAUCAGGGUUAUCAGACUGGAAUAGCUGUCAGGAAUUGGGAACCAUGGGGGAUACACUGGCUUCAUCAAAUUUCGCGUCGCAUGCAUCAGUUCUUGUGGUGCAACAAUACGUACCCAAAAAUUAUAUAGCAAACCCUCAUGGAUUUUCAGCAAGUCUUGGCUCAAGAACUUGGCGACCACUAAUGGUUAGUGACCAGGUUCCCUUUGGCAAUACUACUAGCAUUUCACACCGUUAUGUUUAUGACCAAGAGGAAGAUGAUGACGAUGACUACGAUUACGAUUACGAUCGUAAAUAAUUUCAAAUUAAGCUCUAUGGUUACCGGUCAAAGCUGUCAAGAUAUCAAAGGCUCUAGUCCUACCACGUGUUAAGAUAUUAGAAAAUAAAAUAGUUAGAAUAUAUGUUGUUAGUAUUGUUAGACACUUAACAAAAUCUGUUACUGUUGGUUAGAUUACGCAAACAAGCUUCUAAUCAUAGUUGAUAUAAAAAAAAUGUAAUAGUGUUAGUAAAGAAAUAACAAAGAAUAAAAUACAAGAGCUUUUCGUCUUCCUCUGCUCUGCAGAAUUUCUCUCUGCUUCUCUUCAUUUCUCUUUUUUUUUUUUUGUGAAAAUCUUGCUAUCUUUUCAUAGUAUCAGAGCUUAGAAUUCUUAAUAUCUUGUGAUCUUCUGCUUCUAAUUUCUUGCAAAUCUGUGUUUCUGGCAUCAUUUUCUUAUCCAAACAAUUCUUUCAUAAUAAUCGAUCUGUCUAUUAUCUGUUUGAUAUAUUGUCAAACUGAAAAAUUCUUCUUCAAAUCUUCAACUUUCUGCAAUAUUCUUCCUUCUCGAUCUUUUAUUCUCUUCUUUUCUAUCUCUUGCACUCUAAAAAUGAUGCAAAUUCUCCUUAAGAGUCAUGGUAUUUUAGGAUUUGUUGAUGGCUCAAGAAAGUAUCCAAGUUGAUUUGAUGCAAAUUCUGAUCUUGAAGGUGUUGAAACUGAUGAUCAUCAGGUUUAAAAAAUGCAUGAUCGAGUAUUGAUGUAAUUGUUUAUUGCCACUCUCUCUUCUACUGCAAUUUUUUAUGUUAUUGCAUGUGUCAGUUAUCAUGACAAGUCGCAAUAUCUCUACUAUUUUCCUUGCUUUCAAUCUUGUAUUACAUUCCUGAAUGAAGCAUCUCCAAAUUGAUUAUCAUAUUUUAAUAAAAAAAAAACAUGUUAUCAAAGGUGAUUUAUUGGUCCAGUAUGUCUUUUUUGCAGAUCAGUUUGCUAUAUCCUAACUAAAGGUCUUUCCACUUUUUUAUUUUGGUGUCACUGUUCUAAUCUUAUGCUGGGCUCCUCCAAGCCUGCGAUUGAGGGGAAAUGUCAAGAUAUCAAAGGCCCUAGUCCUGUCACAUGUCAAGAUAUUAAAGAAUAAAAUGGUUAGAAUGUUGUUAGUAUUGUUAGAUAAUUAAAAAAAUUUGUUAUUGUUGGUUAGAUUACAUAAACAAGCUUCUAAUCAUAGUUGAUAUAGAAGAAAUGUAAUAGUGUUAGUAAAGAAAUAACAAAGAAUAAUGCUUUUCUUCUUCCUCUGCUCCGCAGAAUUUCUCUCUACUUCUCUUCGUUUCUCUUUUCGUCUCCGUGAAAAUCUUACUAUCUUUUCAAAAACCAAUUCAUAAACUUCACCGAAUAGUUUGUGUUUCAAGGUUUUUGAUGAAGUGGACGAUGGACAAUUACAUCAUUGUUACGAUUAAAAUGAUUUUGAUCAUCCUUGUUAAUUUAGCAACAAUGCUGCUACCCACUCACAUGGAAAUAUUGUAACAGCUUAUAAUCUACCUAGCAAAACAUUAAAAAAAAAAAAGAGUUUAGCAGCCAAUUUUCCAAAAAAAACCUAGCUUACCAUCCCUUCACUUCAUCUUGUAUUAUAACUUGUACUCUUCUUUUCACAAGCAAUUACAUGCAGCGCCCAGAGUCUUGAAUUUUUUUUUUUUUCUUUUUCACUAUAUUCAAUAUGUUUCUGUAGAACUGAAAAAAUAAAGUUGAGUGAGAGAUUAUUUCUAUCAAUAAUGAACUGUCUAUUAAUUUCAUCAAUUAUCUUAUUUAUGAAUGGGAUUCAUCUUUUGCAAAGCAUGGAGGGAUUCAAAUAAUUACUGACAAAAAGGCUAUAUCGAUUCACAUAAAUGUUGUGCGUGGACGCAAUUGGCAUCAACCAGCCAUGUCCAACAUGGUUGCAUAACGAACGUCAAGAUGGCAGCAAAUUAGGUGACCUAAAUGAUGAAAAUAGUGGUAGACGGUGGCCGAAAUAGUUCACUGAAAUGAUGGGGAAGAGGUUUGUUCCCCCAUUUUUACUAUAAAUAAAAUGGGUUAUCGGAGUUGAAUAUAUAUAUAUAUAUAUAUAUAUAUAUAGAGAGAGAGAGAGAGAGAGAGAGAGAGAGAGAGUAAGAGAGCUGUGAGUGUGAGAGAAGAUUGAUUUGAGUAGAGAGUGUUUUAUCCUCCUCAUUGUAGUUUGUAUUUCUCUCUUUGCUAAUGAAUUCAACAUCUCUGUGGAUGCAGGCAAGUUAUUGAACAACGUUAAAUCUUGUUGUGUCUAUGAAACAAUCAAAAGUUCUUAACAACUAGCAUCAGGACAUUGUUAGGAAAACGUUUGAUCUUUUCCUCGAUUUCAAAGUCUUUCAAAAUGUGUUUUGAAUAUCCCUUUGUGAAGGAGAUGCUACGAGGAAUACACUGAAGAAAAGGGAAAGAAAAACCAUUUUCUUGCAUGAUGUCUGGCAUAUACAUAACACCUCUACUUCUUAAAUAAGUUGUAAAGUGUUUGGAAACGCACCGUGAUUUUUAAAAUUUUGGAAAAUUUUUUAUUUAAAAUUAGUUUUCAAUAUUUAAAAAUAAAAUAAAAUAUAUUAUUUUGAUAUAUUUUCAAUUAAAAAAUAUUUUCUUCAACCCUAACACAUUAUCAAACACCCCUAAUAACUUAGCUAUGACUUGAUAAAAUUUCAAAUUAAAAUAUUCCUAGCAUUAAAGUGACUAAGAUUCUAAAAAUAAGUUAAUAUAAAAUUUCAUAAAUAAAAAAUAUUUUCCUUACAAGAUUUUAUAACAAUGAUUUUGAUUUAUUGAAUCUAAAUUCUAAAAAUGCACUCAUUUAAUAUAUUUAAAUCAUGAGUUUAAACAAAUUAGUUUUAUGUUCUGGAAGAAAAUAGAGUUUUAGAAAGUAUAUAAAUAAUUACAGAAGAAAGAAUUGGGCUAGAGCACCAAGCCCGAACGCUUGCCUCUAGGAUGCCAGGCCCGCACCAAGGAAAAGCAAGCAAGCGGUGCCUUGCUUCGUCUUCUCCUGUGCUCACUAAAACGUCGUUCCUCGAACCCUUUUUUCCAUGUAAAACUCCUUUUUUUUACCAUUUUCGAUUACAAUCCAUCCAAAAACUCUUCAAAAUCCAAUCAAAGUUUCGAAACAAAAAUUGUUUUCCAGUUUAGAUUUCUUUUAAAAAAAGAGUGGAUGAAAUGAUUAAAAUAUUUAAAAAUUUAAGCAGAAGGAUUGACAUGGUCCAAAAUUAAAUAGAAAAAUUGAUAUUACUACAAUUUAAAAGUAUAGAAAUAGGAGGUGUAUUUUUUGCAUAAGUUUAACUUGUCGAAUGCGAUUCCAUGAGCUUCUUCUUCUUUUUUAUCAGGAAUCGUGUUGAAAAACAUGAUGACAUGCAACUUUCCCUCACCACCCCUAAUUUUCCCCUUCUCUCUCCUCCAAAUAAGCUAUGAUCAGAAUAAAUGCAAAUGAACUUUAGGGGCCGUAAAUGAAAAAAUCAUCAUUUAAAAGACCAUAAAUAUCCAUAAAAAAGGAAAAAGAAAAUAUAGAGAUAGAUUAUGGUGUGAAUUCAUGGUCAAGUGUGUUUGAUAUUGUGUUAACUUUUGUAGUUGUGGUUUAAAAAAUAUUAUUUUAUAAAAAAUCCUUUUAGUCGAGGUUGGUUUUGAAAAAUAUAUAUUUGAUUAAAACUGUGGUUGAAAUUGAGAUUAAACAAAAUAGUUUAAUGUGUUUGGUUAAAAAUAUUUUUCAAAUUGAGAUUAUAAAAUAACUAAAAAAAACAUAUAUUAAUAUUGAUGAUUUUUAAUUGAAAUAUUGUUAAUUUAACUACUGUUAUUACAUCAUGAAAUAAACAAUACUUUAUAUCAAGUAUUUUUUAUUGUUUCAUUAAACUAUUUAUAAUUUCAUCACAUAUAAAAUCCAUCCGACAAGGACUACAGUUUUCAUGGCUUCCUAAACGUGCAAUAAUAUCAGGUAAAAUAUCAUCAGGAAUAAAAUUGAAAUUGCGAUCAAAUUCUACAAAUGUUAUGUCAUCAUGGAAUCUUCUUCUAAUAUAAUUAUGUAGUGUCAUUAAAUAAUGUUAAACACUAGCUUUUUAAAUAAAACACAAUGCAUGAGAAAUUUUGUUGGAUUUUUUUUUAUUUUACUGGGUCGGACCUAGUCCAAUACAUUAAUACAUUUAGGUUGGGACCGGAACCUAUCCGGGUCAUGAACAAUAGAGACACUCUCUACUGUUCACGUGAACAAUGGUACCGCUGAAUUAAUUCACAUGAAUAGUGGGGCAUAAGCAUAGAAAUUUUGCUUCUCUUAAACCUUGGACACAACCGCAAUUUAAAUGGGUCCCACCAAAAAAAACUCAGUUUUUAACUUAACCAAACGUUAAUAUUUGUGGCUUACUCUGAACCUCAACCACAGUCUCAAUGCCAAACGAGCAUUAUAUAAUGUGUCUGGGAGUUGCUUAUGCUUUUAAGUGUUUAUUAAAAGAGUUAUUUUUAUUUGAAAAAAAUAUUGCAUUAAUUUUUUUAAUAUUUUCAAAUGAUUUUGAUUCAUUGAAGCUUAAUUCUUAAUCAACCUAAUAUUGAAGAAUAAAUUUAAAAAAACAAUUAAUCAAGUAAAAAAAAACUUGGAUCAACUCGAGUUAACCUGUCAAACCUAAAUCAUGAGACUAGGAUACCCCACUAAAAAACAAUAUGAGGCCUAAUUUUCUAUUAAUCUAAUGUUAAAGGAUUAAAUUCAGAAAAGAUAAAAAAUAAAAAAAAAACUCAAGUCAAUCUAGGUUACAUGUAAUGCUUUUAACACAAGUCAUGAAACUAGGAUAACCCUAUAAAAAUAAAAUAUAAAUAAAUUAAGACUCUUAAUUUUUAAUCAACCUAAAUUUUAAAGGAUAAAAUUAAAAAAAAAAAAUAAACCAAAAAAACUAAAUCAAUCGGGUUAACUCACAAAACUUAUGCCCUAAGUCAUAAAACUAAGAUAACCUUAAAGAAAGCAAAAAAUAAAUAAAUUAUAAAGUUAAAUUUCCAAUAAAUAUAACGUGAAAGGAUAAAAUAUAUAAAAAAAGACUAAAUCAAAAAUAAAAAAGUAAAAAAAUAUUGUUCCAAUAAAUCAUACUUCGUAAGGAGAGGAAUAUUGGUUUACAUUAUGUUCCCCUCUUCAAUUAGUUUUUGUUUGCUAGAUAGGUAGUUUGCAUUACACCCGGGUUAGUUAAAAAAUUUCCUAACAUAAAAAAUGUUAAGUUAGUGCUAGUGUUUUUUUAAAAAAAAAAAAAAGAGGGAAAAAUAUGAGAUUCAGAUUACUAACUUAACCGCGUUCAAUAAACUUGAUUAACUUAAGAAUAUGAUUUAAAAAAAAAUCAUAAAUAACACGAACAAAAAAUACAAUAAUAAGUUAUACUCAGAAGAAUAAAAAAAAAAUCUUUCAAAGACCUACCAUUAAUCUAUCAUAGACACUACUCACCCAUCAAAAAUUGCUUAUUAAGAAGUUCAAACAUUAUUGUGAAAGGCUUUAUGUCAACACCAAAAGGGAUGGCACAUAUCAUUAAAGUAACAAACUAAUUAAAAUAUCAUGCGAUGAGUAUCUCAUGCUUAUAUUUAAUAAAUUAAUUUAAUUUAAAAACAAAAUUUCUUAAAAUAAGCUAAACAUGAAUAGAGAAUGAUAAAUAAAAAAACAUGAUAUAACUCAGGUUACUAUCAAAAUUAUUGAAAAAUCCUAUAAAAAUUAAAUUUAAAAAAAAACAAUGGAGUUCAAUCUUUAACUAAAUAACUGUCAAAAUAUGAAAAUGAAAAAAUAUGAGCUGAAAAAAAAAAACAAUCAAACUUGGGAGAAUUUCUUCAAUUUAGGUUAAUCUUCUAAACUUGCUGCUAGUGAAAUCUUAGACUUGAGCUCAAUCAAGAAGUUUAAUUUCAAACAAAUUAAAUGUUGGAUCAUGAAAUAGAAAAAAAAAAACAAGAAGAUCAAUCUUAAAAAAAUGUCAAAGCAAGAAAAAAAACUAGCAAUUAAGAUAAUAAGGAUCAAAUUGGCAGAAAAACUUAAAAGGGAUGAAAUUAUAAGAAAAAAAUCAUUUAAAAGAACAAAGAUCAAAUCUAAAAAAUAUAAAAAUUAAAAGAAGUAAAAUUAAAACAAAAAAUUAAUUUCAUAAAUUAUUUUAAAUAAAAAAAUAAUAAUCAAAAAAUGAAAUAUGAAUAAAUAUCAAAGUGAAAGGCUACUUUUAUGUUUUGCAGGGUCAAUGUAAGAAUCCCGGAGUAAAAAAAAAAAAAAAUGAUUGCAUGCACCAAACUGUACAUCUGUUUGUAACACAUGCUAGACUUGGAAGGAGGGGAAGCUAUGACGAAUCUAACGAAGCCUUUGUAUGACCAUUGCACAACGUCCCAAGCUUUGCCCAAAGGGCAUGGGGACAUUUCACACGCUGACACAUAACAUGUAAGAUAAAUUUUUUAAUAAUAAUUUUACUAAAUCAAUUACCGAACAUCCCCACUAGAACCACUUUAUUACAGAAAAAAAAAAACCAAUAUAAAAAGACUCAAAUGCUCCUAGAUCAAAGCUCUAAAAAAAUUGAUUUUAAAAGCAAAUGCAUCCUUUAAUUGUUUGUAAAGACCUUACUGCGCUAUUCAAUUUGUAAAUGUUUUUUUUAUUAUUUAGAAAAGACUAUUCUACUCCGUGUAAGACUUAAUCGUCCCUUUACUAUUGUAAUCAAUGUUUGCUUUUGGUUUUGCUUUUCCAAAAGGUUAAGAGUAUAAUUAUCAACAAGUGAACGACUUGAAGAGACAGGGGAGACAUGAAGGACGACUUUGAAGGAUGAAAGUCAUAAAAAAAUACAAAACAUUUUAAUUCUACGUACCUACAAGGUUUUAAUAAUACCAGCACAUGUACGUAUGCAAGACUGUGGAUGAAAAACAAAAUAUUUAAGCAAAGUUUAGGUAUUAAUUAUGUUUUUUUUAUUAUUAUUUUUUUACAAAUAGACAAGAACACACAUGCCACAAGCCCCGCAGCAUUAUACGGGCAUGGCAUCUAGUGCCUUCCGAAAAGUUAAGAGUAUAAUUAUCAAUAAAUGGACGACUUGGAGAGGCAAGGGGGCAUUAAGAAUGACUUCGAAGAACAAAAGUCAUAAAAAAAUACAAAGUAUUUUAAUUCUACAGGCCUGCAAGGUUUUAAUAGUACCAGCACAUGUGCGCCUGCAAGGCUGCGGGUGAAGAACAAAAAAUUUAAACAAAAUCUAGUAUUAAUAAUUUUUUUUUUAUGAUUUUUUUUACAUAUCGACAACAACACACAUGCCACAAGCCCCGCAGCAUUACACGGGCAUGGCAUCUAGUGCCUUCCGAAAGGUUAAGAGUAUAAUUAUCAACAAAUGGAUGACUUGAAGAGACAAAGGGGCAUUAAGAAUGACUUUGAAGAACAAAAGGUUAUAAUAAAAAAAAACGAAGCGUUUUAAUUCUACAUACCUACAAGGUUUUAAUAGUACCAGCACAUGUGCGCAUGUAAGGCUGCGGGUGAAGAACAAAAAAUUUAAGCAAAAUCUAGGUAUUAAUAAUGUUUUUUUUUAUGAUUUUUUUUACAAAUCGACAACAACACACAUGCCACAAGCCUCGCAGCAUUACACGAGCAUGGCAUCUAGUGCCUUUCGAAAGGUUAAAAGAAUAAUUAUCAACAAAUGGACGACUUGGAGAGACAAGGGGGGCAUUAAGAACGACUUUGAAGAACAAAAGUCAUAAAAAAAUACGAAGCGUCUUAAUUCUACAUACCUACAAGGUUUUAAUAGUAAAAGCACAUAUGCGCAUGCAAGGCUGCGGGUGAAGAACAAAAAAUUUAAGCAAAAUCUAGGUAUUAAUAAUGUUUUUUUUUAUGAUUUUUUUUACAAAUCGACAACAACACACAUGCCACAAGCCUCGCAGCAUUACACGAGCAUGGCAUCUAGUGCCUUUCGAAAGGUUAAAAGAAUAAUUAUCAACAAAUGGACGACUUGGAGAGACAAGGGGGGCAUUAAGAACGACUUUGAAGAACAAAAGUCAUAAAAAAAUACGAAGCGUCUUAAUUCUACAUACCUACAAGGUUUUAAUAGUAAAAGCACAUAUGCGCAUGCAAGGCUGCGGGUGAAGAACAAAAAAUUUAAGCAAAAUCUAGGUAUUAAUAAUGUUUUUUUUUAUGAUUUUUUUUACAAAUCGACAACAACACACAUGCCACAAGCCUCGCAGCAUUACACGAGCAUGGCAUCUAGUGCCUUUCGAAAGGUUAAAAGAAUAAUUAUCAAAAAUGGACGACUUGGAGAGACAAGGGGGCAUUAAGAACAACUUUGAAGAACAAAAGUCAUAAAAAAAUACGAAGCGUCUUAAUUCUACAUACCUAUAAGGUUUUAAUAGUACAAGCACAUAUGCGCAUGCAAGGCUGUGGUGAAGAACAAAAAAUUUAAGCAAAAUCUAGGUAUUAAUAAUGUUUUUUAUGAUUUUUUUUACAAAUCAACAACAACACACCUGCCACAAGCCUCUCAGCAUUAUACAGGCAUGGCAUCUAGUGCCUUCCGAAAGGUUAAGAGUAUAAUUAUCAACAAUGGACGACUUGAAGAGGCAAGGGGGGCAUUAAGAAUGACUUUGAAGAACAAAAGUCAUAAAAAUAAAUACGAAGCAUUUAAUUCUAUACCUACAAGGUUUUAAUAAUACCAGCACAUGUGCGCCUGCAAGGCUGCGGGUGAGAACAAAAAAUUUAAGCAAAAUCUCGGUAUUAAUAAUGUUUUUUUUAUGAUUUUUUUUACAAAUCAACAACAACACACAUGCCACAAGCCCCGCAACAUUACACGGGCAUGGCAUCUAGUGCCUUCCGAAAGGUUAAGAGUAUAAUUAUAAACAAAUGGACGACUUGGAGAGACAAGGGGGCAUUAAGGAGGACUUUGAAGAGCAAAAGUCAUAAAAAAAAUACGAAGCAUUUUAUUCUACAUACCUGCAAGGUUUUAAUAGUACCAGCAAAUGUGCGCCUGCAAGGCUGCGGGUGAAGAACAACAAAUUUAAGCAAAAUCUAGUUUUAAUAAUGUUUUAUUUUAUGAUUUUUUUUACAUAUUGACAACAACACACAUGCCACAAGCCCCGCAGCAUUACAUGGGCAUGGCAUCUACUGCCUUCCGAAAGGUUAAGAGUAUAAUUAUCAACAAAUGGAUGACUUGAAGAGACAAAGGGGCAUUAAGAAUGACUUUGAAGAACAAAAGGUUAUAAUAAAAAAAAACGAAGCGUUUUAAUUCUACAUACCUACAAGGUUUUAAUAGUACCAGCACAUGUGCGCAUGUAAGGCUGCGGGUGAAGAACAAAAAAUUUAAGCAAAAUCUAGGUAUUAAUAAUGUUUUUUUUUUAUGAUUUUUUUUACAAAUCGACAACAAACACACAUGCCACAAGCCUCGCAGCAUUACACGAGCAUGGCAUCUAGUGCCUUUCGAAAGGUUAAAAGAAUAAUUAUCAACAAAUGGACGACUUGGAGAGACAAGGGGGGCAUUAAGAACGACUUUGAAGAACAAAAGUCAUAAAAAAAUACGAAGCGUCUUAAUUCUACAUACCUACAAGGUUUUAAUAGUAAAAGCACAUAUGCGCAUGCAAGGCUGCGGGUGAAGAACAAAAAAUUUAAGCAAAAUCUAGGUAUUAAUAAUGUUUUUUUUUAUGAUUUUUUUUACAAAUCGACAACAACACACAUGCCACAAGCCUCGCAGCAUUACACGAGCAUGGCAUCUAGUGCCUUUCGAAAGGUUAAAAGAAUAAUUAUCAACAAAUGGACGACUUGGAGAGACAAGGGGGGCAUUAAGAACGACUUUGAAGAACAAAAGUCAUAAAAAAAUACGAAGCGUCUUAAUUCUACAUACCUACAAGGUUUUAAUAGUAAAAGCACAUAUGCGCAUGCAAGGCUGCGGGUGAAGAACAAAAAAUUUAAGCAAAAUCUAGGUAUUAAUAAUGUUUUUUUUUAUGAUUUUUUUUACAAAUCGACAACAACACACAUGCCACAAGCCUCGCAGCAUUACACGAGCAUGGCAUCUAGUGCCUUUCGAAAGGUUAAAAGAAUAAUUAUCAACAAAUGGACGACUUGGAGAGACAAGGGGGGCAUUAAGAACAACUUUGAAGAACAAAAGUCAUAAAAAAAUACGAAGCGUCUUAAUUCUACAUACCUAUAAGGUUUUAAUAGUACAAGCACAUAUGCGCAUGCAAGGCUGUGGGUGAAGAACAAAAAAUUUAAGCAAAAUCUAGGUAUUAAUAAUGUUUUUUUAUGAUUUUUUUUACAAAUCAACAACAACACACCUGCCACAAGCCUCUCAGCAUUAUACAGGCAUGGCAUCUAGUGCCUUCCGAAAGGUUAAGAGUAUAAUUAUCAACAAAUGGACGACUUGAAGAGGCAAGGGGGGCAUUAAGAAUGACUUUGAAGAACAAAAGUCAUAAAAAUAAAUACGAAGCAUUUUAAUUCUACAUACCUACAAGGUUUUAAUAAUACCAGCACAUGUGCGCCUGCAAGGCUGCGGGUGAAGAACAAAAAAUUUAAGCAAAAUCUCGGUAUUAAUAAUGUUUUUUUUAUGAUUUUUUUUACAAAUCAACAACAACACACAUGCCACAAGCCCCGCAACAUUACACGGGCAUGGCAUCUAGUGCCUUCCGAAAGGUUAAGAGUAUAAUUAUAAACAAAUGGACGACUUGGAGAGACAAGGGGGCAUUAAGGAGGACUUUGAAGAGCAAAAGUCAUAAAAAAAAUACGAAGCAUUUUAAUUCUACAUACCUGCAAGGUUUUAAUAGUACCAGCAAAUGUGCGCCUGCAAGGCUGCGGGUGAAGAACAACAAAUUUAAGCAAAAUCUAGUUUUAAUAAUGUUUUAUUUUAUGAUUUUUUUUACAUAUUGACAACAACACACAUGCCACAAGCCCCGCAGCAUUACAUGGGCAUGGCAUCUACUGCCUUCCGAAAGGUUAAGAGUAUAAUUAUCAACAAAUGGAUGACUUGAAGAGACAAGGGGGGCAUUAAGAAUGACUUUGAAGAACAAAAGGUCAUAAAAAAAAAAAACGAAGCGUUUUAAUUCUACAUACCUACAAGGUUUUAAUAGUACCAGCACGUGUGCGCAUGCAAGGAAAAAUAUUUUGUAUGUAAUUGAAGGAAAAAUAUAAUUAAUCUAAAAAAACAAUGUAAAAACUUAAUAAUAAAAAUAUCAAAAUAUGUGAAGGAAAAAUAUAAUUAAUCUAAAAAAAUAAUUUAAAAACUUAAUAAUAAAAAUAUCAAAAUAUGUGUUUUUUUAUUUGAAUAUUUAUGACCAUAAAUAUUUUAAAAAAAAUUAAGAAAUUAAAAAAGAAACUUAAGAGUUGUCUUAAAAAAAUGUCCAGAUGCUUGGGCUAAGGUGGGAUAAUAUGCAUAGCCUAACACAAUGAAACCUCGGCACGUGAGCCUGUAAGGCCUGGAAGGUGCACAUGACUUUCUAUCUCCUUUUUUUUCUUUUUCUUUUUAACAUCCUCUUUAUUUCAUAUAUAAAAACAAAUUUGCAAUGCGGCAUCUACUAGUAAAGAUUUCAGCCAUAGGAGAUAGUCAAAAAGCCAGGGUUUGUGUUUUUUACCUCAAAAAUUACUUUUCAAUUAUUUCUUACCUAAAAUUAAAGCCAUGUUUGUUUCCCUGAAAGUAGUUUUCAGGAAACCAUUUUCCAAACUUUAUUGUAUUUGUUUGUCACUAGGAAAGUUGGUCAACGAAAAACACUUUCCGGUCAAUGAAAAACACUUUCUAGUCAAUAAAAAAUACUUUUUGGUCAACUGAAAACACUUUCUAGUCAAUUUUAGUCAAAGAAAAAUUUGACUUGGUUUUCAGGAAAGUGUUUUCUCUUUAGCUGUGUUUGUUUUUCGGAAAGUGGUUUCCGGGAAAUCACUUUCCAAACUUUCUUGUGUUUAUUUGCCAGUAGGAAAGUUGGUCAAUGGAAAACACUUUCCAGUAAAAGGAAAAUUUGGCUUUGUUUCAGGAAAGUGUUUUCCUGAAAAAUUUUGGGGGGAAAACACUUUCCGGAAGUUGUGAAAAAUUUAGAAAUGUAAUUAUUUGCUAAUUAUAUCAAAUUUGAUCCUCAAACUUUUAAUUGCUACAUAUAUUUUGUUUUGAAUAUUUAUUUUUCAAUUUCAUCUCUUAAAAUUUUAUUUUUAUAUUAACUUUGGUUUUUAUUUUUAUAAUUGCUAUUUGCUUUUUCCUUAUCAUUUUUUUAUUGAAAUUUUUUAUCUAUCAAAUUUGCUCCUCAUUCUUUUGAUUGUUACUUAUUUUAUUUAAAAUAAUUUAUGAAAUGUUGAUUAUUAUUAUUUUAAUUUCUUCAUCUUUCAUUUUUUUUAAUUUUUUAGAUUUGAUCUCUAUUAUUUUGAUUAUUAUUUAUUUUAUUUGAGAUAAUUUAUAAAAUUAUAUAUUUUUUUCAAUUUCAUUCUCAUUCAACUUUUUAAUUUGUAAGAUUUGUUCCUCAUUAUUUUAAUAAAUUUGAGAAAAAUAAAAUAUUAAUAAGUUAUUUUCCAGUUCAUUUUCCAUAACAUAACUAAACACUGGAAAGUGUUUUCCAAGUCAUUUUCAAUUACACUACCAAAUAUCGGAAAAUACUUUCUCGGAAUUCACUUUCCCUGGAAUUCACUUUCUAAAAGGAAACCAAUUUUCAGCAAACAAACAAAACCUUAAAAUAAAAAAAACUUAUUAAGUACUUUAACUAACUCAUUUUUUACUUAAAAAUAUUUUUAAAUUAAUAAAAAAACCCAAAAUUAAAUUGCAUAAAAAUAGUUUUGAACUCCAACCUAUUUUUUUAGUAAAAUAAAAUUUAAAAACAUCUUAAUAACAUUUAUUACCAAAAAAAUCUACGAAUACAAAGGUAAAAAUGCGAACCCAGAGGCAACAUAUCUCUUUUGUUUGGAAAUCACGUUUCCCUCUCAUUUAAGGAUGAAAUAUUUAAAAUAUAAUAAAUAUUAAAGAACAAAAGGAUAAGGAUAUUUGAUAAAAAUAUUUUUUGCCCCGAACGUUUUGGACCAAUUUGCACGUCGAAGGAGACACAAGUCAAGUUCACCAGAGGUGGGACCAGUCUCCCUAAUCUCAUUCAUUGCUAAGGGAACCCACUUGUCUACGAUUUGAGUUGUCCUCAUGGGAAUUCAUGAUGUUACCAUGUUUUUAGCAUCCUCUUGAAAAAAAGAAAAAACACUUUCUUAUAUGUCACCAGUCUUUCCUGAGAGGAAGUAGAACGCUAGCAUUAUCAUAUGGCUUCAGCCUAUUCUGCUUUGUUGCUUGUGUUUUUCUUUUGGAUUUACGAACCUGUAAGUCCCCACCCGAACCAGACACACAAGAUAGAAUUAGGUUCUUCACUCUCCACCAAUUUCCCACCAACUUCGUGGCGCUCCCCUUCUGAUCAUUUUGCUUUUGGGUUCUACCGACAGGGCAGCGGCUUCAUAGUGGGAAUUUGGUUGGCGAGUAAGCCAGAUGCUACAAUCACCUGGACAAUAAACCGAGAUGUCCCUCAUGUGUCAUCAAAUGCUACACUGGAGUUGACCAGAAAAGGUAAGCUCCUUUUGAGAACGCAUAGAAAUAAUGCAACUGAUGAAGAGAAACUCAUUGCUAAUUUUACGGGGUCAGCUUCAUAUGCUCGAAUGCUUGAUUCUGGGAAUUUUGUGCUCUACAAUGAAAGUUUCGAAGCAAUAUGGGAAAGUUUUAACUUUCCUACGGAUACUAUAUUAGGAGGACAGAAUCUAUACAAAGGGGGUGAACUGUUUUCCAGUGCAUCUGCAAUCGAUUUGUCCACGGAAAGGUUUCGUCUUAAAAUGCAAGAUGAUGGGAACCUUGUUUUGUAUCCCGUAGACACUCUAGACCUUCCACUGGAUGCGUAUUGGAGCUCAGGAACUGAUGGUAAUCCUGGUAUCCAUCUAAUUUUAACUGGUACAGGAGAUCUGUUACUCGUUAACCAAACCUUGCACAAAAUCAAAGACGUGUCACUCUCUGGUUCAGAAUCGAACAGCACCUCAAUUAUCUACCGGGCAACAUUGGAGCAUGAUGGAAUUUUCCGGUUGUAUUCCCAUGACCUCGAUGGCGUAGCUAAGUACAUCAUUUCCCUUUUGUGGUAUGUACGAUGGAAACAGUGUGAAGUGAGAGGGUUCUGUGGAUUCAACAGCUACUGCACCAUGAACGAUGAUCAACCUGACUGUCUUUGUCUUCCUGGAACUGCUUACGUUGAUCCCAACCAGAGAUUUCGUGGAUGUGAGAGAGACUACAACGAAGGAUCCUGCAAACAUACAAACGAAAUGUCAUCGCUAUAUAACAUUACUGUUAUGGACCAAAUUGCGUGGGAUGACAACGCUUAUUUUCAAGCAUCAAUGUCAGAGGAAGGUUGCAGAAAGUCCUGUUUGGAGGAUUGUAACUGUGCUGGCGCGCUGUACGAACUAGGGAAGUGCAAGAAACAGAAGUACCCAGUGAAAUAUGCUUCGAAAACGCAAGAUCAAUCAUCAAAAUCUUUCUUCAAGGUGGCUUUGGAGAGUAUCAAAAGCAGCAACCAUUCCAGUGCCAUAGGAAUGGUGCCUUCAGUAAUCCAGAGGACAAGCAAGAAGGCAGUGGUACUAAUUCUUGUUAUGAGUUUAGCCUUCAUCACAUGGUGUUUAGUCGCCCUAGCAAUCUCUGGCCUUUUCAUCUUUAAGUCGAGAGUCAUUAAGGGUAGAAUGCAGACGGAAAGCGGAAAUUUUGGCUUGGCCCGUGAGCUCACUCUGAGAGCAUUCUCUUAUCGUGAGCUUAAGAAAGCAACCAAGGGUUUCAAAGAAGAGUUGGGGAAAGGAUCUUCUGGAGCUGUUUACAAAGGGACUUUAUACAAAGGUAAAAAGGCUAUUGCGGUGAAGAGGCUGGAGAAGGUGGUCAGUGAAAGUGAAAGGGAGUUCCUGACGGAGAUGCGUUCAAUUGGAAAAACUCAUCAUAAGAAUUUGGUUCGGCUUCUUGGCUACUGCACUGAGGGUUCCCAUAGGCUCCUAGUAUAUGAAUACAUGAGCAAUGGGUCACUUGCAAAUCUUCUCUUCCGAAAUGAAAGGAUUCCAGAUUGGAGCGACAGAGUGAAAAUUGCUCUAGAUAUUGCUAAAGGGAUCUUAUAUCUGCAUGAAGAGUGUGAAGCAUCAAUCAUCCAUUGUGAUAUAAAGCCUCAAAACAUUCUGAUGGAUGAUUUUUGGACUGCUAAGAUCUCUGAUUUUGGUCUGGCAAAAUUGUUAGUGCCUGAUCAAACAAGAACCCUGACUAUAGCCAGAGGGACACCAGGUUAUAUGGCACCUGAAUGGACUAAGAUCAGCACUCCAACAUCAGUGAAGGUAGAUGUUUACAGUUAUGGAGUUGUGCUCUUGGAAAUUGUUUUCUGCAGGAGAAACAUGGAAAUCAACGUAUCAAAACCAGAGGAAAUUCUACUUUCUAAAUGGGCAUACGAGCUUUUGGUUGCAAGAGAAUUGGACAGGCUUGAUCUUGGUGAAGAUGUAGACAGGCAGAAAAUGGAGAAAAUGGUUAUGAUCGGCAUUUGGUGUAUUCAAGAUGAACCAGGUCUCCGCCCUUCUAUGAAGACUGUCGUGAUGAUGUUAGAAGGAAUUACUGAUGUAUCUGUUCCUCCACACCCAACUUCAGCUUCAGCAUAAGUGUCUAUGUAUGCGUGUCUACGCAGGAAAACUAUCAACCGCUUUCUCUAAAAGUCUCUUGUUUCCUAUAGUUGUAGCAGCACUCCCAAAUAAAGAAAUAAUUUAUUGGUUUUAGGGGUGGGACGUUAUGGAAGCAGUAGUUUAAAGAGCAUGAUGAUCUUGAUUGUGUAGUAAGACUAACAUGAAGCACGCUUAUGUUUCUGUUUCCUCCAAAUUCAAUGUGUCCAUGCUUUGAUAAUUAUUAAUGGCCACUCCAUAUAUAGAAAAUAUUAAAGCUUGUUCCAUAUAUAUACGGUAAUUGUUUCUGGUGAAUCGGAAAUGUUUUCCAGUUGCAGGUCUUUUCUUCCUCUGGGAAAUUUGUUUUGUGAUGAACAUUUCACGUUACCACUGAACUGAUGAAAUUUUAUUGAGAGAAUCUUUACUGGGAUAACAUAGCAGUUCAAGCUUUUAGUAUCUAUUAUAUCCCAAAAUUUAACAAAGGAAUCCACAACAGCAUCUUGUCUUCUUGGAAGGUGCUUUUGGGUAUCAGUAAAGUAAAUGAAGUGGGUGUUUGUUUUCGUGGUUGCUUCUGCUUUUGAAGCAAAUCACAAAAAAUAAGUGUUAGGUAACGGAAGAAACAUGAUUUAUUUCAUGAGGGACCCACCAUGUUUUGUGUUUUGAACGCAGGUCAGCAAAUAGCAGUUUCAUGCUGCUUCUCUUUGCCUUCAUACACAAUAAGCUAUUCACUUUUAUAAAAAGAUUGUUCAAAUUAUAUGUACAGUGUCAAUUGUUAUGAUUGGGAAAGAGAAGAAGUUUACCUGUGCCGCAGAUGAAGCAAGUGGAUAUGGUGCACUCUGGACAAUGCCUCUUAUUCUGCCUUUAGUUUUCUUUUUCUCCGAUUCUUUCUAUUCUAUUGUUUUUUUUUAUUAUUCUGGAUUGUCCUCUCUCUCUCUCUCUCUCGGUUUCGAUCCUUUAUUUUUUCUCUUCUUCGUUUGUGUUUCUUUUCUAUUCUGUUGUUCAAAGGGGGAGAGCCGAGGGGGCUGGUAUACUUGGAGGCAAAGCUGGUGCUUGUGCAUUGGUUGGCCAGUGCUUUCCUCUCUCUGUUUCUAUUUUUCCUUUGCUUACACUUCGAUCUUCCUUCCAUGGGUCUUUUUUUUUUCUAUCCUUUUGUUCUCCUGUGUUUGCUUGUCCUCCCUUUCGCCUUCUGUGUAUAUCGUUCACUCCUUGUGUUCUGUGUGUCACUUUGUGUCUGUCCCCUGUUCUUGUUUUUGUUUGUCCUCUGUUUAUCCCCGGGGUCCUUUUUGUUUUCUUUCCCUUUGUUUCCGUUCUUCGUUCGUGCCUCGGUAAUGGCAUGCAUCGUGGGGGCGAGAAGGAUGUUACCAUGAUUUGCUGUCGUUUCCACUGACUCAGGAUGAAGGAGAUGAACAGUUUGCUUUGAAACGACGUCGUUUUGAGCUGAGGCGAUCAUUCUUCAAUUUGGCCACUGGAAUUAUGAUAUCUUGCAAUCAGACCAUUAUUCAUGGAAAAUUCUUUUUUUGUUUUUUUAAUUUGGCCCCCGGAUCAAUUUCAAUUUUUAAUUUUAUUUUUAAUUGUGUUUUAUUAAAAAAAAAUUAGAAGAAAAUCGACAUAGCAAUUACAAAAUUUGAUCACAAUUCCAAUUUUAUUCAUGAUGAUAUUUUACUUGGUGUUGUUGCGUGCUUAAGAAACCAAAAAAACUAUAGUCCGGAUGGAUUUCAUAUGUAAUAAAAUUGUAAAUAGUUUAAUGGAACAAUAAAAAAUAUUUGAUAUAAGUAUUAUUUAUUCCAUGAUAUAAUAGCAGUAAUUAAAUCUAUAAUAUUUAAAUUAAAAACCAUAUAUAUAUAUAUAUAUAUAACCUCAAUUUAAAAAGUAUUUUUUUAUUCAAACAUAUUAAACUACUUUUUAUUCAACCUCAAUUUCAACCAUAAUUUUAAUCAAAUAUAUAUACAUAUCAAAUCAACCUCAACUAAAAUUAAUUUUUUUAAAUUAUAACUAUAAAAACUAUAAUACUAUCAAACACACUCGAACUCGAAGAGAGCGACUUAGCUAGCUGGGUCUUACACGUAACUUUGGGAGACUUUUGUGGAAAACUAUACCAAAGUUACAGACAGGUCUAGGGCGGUGGGACCUGUGCUAAAGUUUCUACUGCUAGCAAACAAAUCAUUCAUUCAUUUCACACGGUUUUAGUUUUGAAGUUGGGUAGAACUUUCUUCUAUUUGACAAUUAGUCUUGUAUGCUCUCAGGUCUCAAACAAUAGCUAUCUUUUCUGUAUCUGUUUUUCUCUCUCAACCUCCUUCCUUCCUGCAUGGCUUUGGAAUCAUGCCUUUUGCUUCUCAUACUAUUUCUACUCUUUGUAGAAACAAGAACUCAACCAAACCAAUGUGGUGAAAUACACUUGGGUUCUCAGUUAUCUCCCACUUCCAACUUACUUUCAUGGUUCUCCCCUUCAGGCCAUUUUGCAUUUGGCUUCUAUCCACAAGGAAAUGGAUUUGCCAUAGGAAUAUGGCUGAUCGGUCAACCUGAUAACACAGUCGUCUGGACUGCAAAUCGAGAUGAUCCACCAGUCUCCUCCGAUGCUACAAUCCACUUCUCGGAAGAGGGUAAGCUGCUUCUUCGAACUGGGCAAGGCCGCUAUGAGAAACUAAUUGCUGAUGUGUCUGUAUCAGAUUCAGCUUCAAUGCUUGAUUCUGGUAAUUUCGUGCUUUACAGUAAUUGUAGUAUAAUUUGGCAAAGCUUUGAUUUUCCAACCGACACCAUUUUAGGAGGCCAGAGUCUCACUUGGUCUCAAGAAUUGGUUUCAAGUGUGUCGAGCUCAAAUCACUCAAGUGGAAGGUUUUUCCUCUGGAUGCAAACGGAUGGAAACCUUGUGGCCUACCCUAGAAACAGUGCUGCUCUACCUAAUGAUGCUUACUGGGGCAGUAAUACUGUUAAUAACGUGGGGUUGAAUCUCUCUCUCAAUCACCAGGGACAUCUGUUCAUGAAUAUUUACAAAUCUGAACCACAAGUACUCUUAUUGGCAAACAGUUCUUAUUCCUGUGAGAACAGCACUACAAUUUUUCGUGCGACAUUUGAUGCUGAUGGGAUUUUCAGGCUGUAUUCACACUGUUUUGAGAGUAAAACUAGCUGGAGUGUGCAUAUUGAGUGGUCUGCAUUGAAUAAUCAGUGUGAUGUUCAUGGUUUCUGUGACUUCAACAGUUAUUGCUCAGGUACGGGCACUAAUUGUGAAUGUUCAUGUUAUCCUGGAUUUGUUUUCAAUGAUCCCAAUGAGAAAUUCAGCGGAUGCUACAGGAAUGCCAGUGAAAGUUUUUGUGCAGGCAUCAAAGAAGGGAGAAAGUACCAUGUCACCGGAAUAGAAAAUUUAUUGUUUGAACGAGAUCCUUAUUCUGCCCAAGAGCUCGAAGAGGAAAAAUGUGGUUUGUCUUGCCUGGAAGAUUGUCAUUGUGACGUUGCUCUAUAUAUGGAUGCGAAGUGCGAAAAGUAUACUUUUCCAAUUCGGUAUGGUAGAGAGAAUAAAAACAUAUCAUCUAUAGCCUUCUUCAAGGAAGAAACAAACCCAGGCCAGAAAAUCAUUAUAGAUAGCAAGAAGAGCUUAAUUAUGUUUCUUGCUAUAAUUUUUUGCUCUAUAGCUAUCUUAUGUUUGGGCAUUGCAAUCUCUACUUUCUUCGUGUACAGGGAUCGAGCUUUUCUAUACGAAAAGCUAUCAGAAAUCAUAAGCUUGACCGGAGAGUUUACUCUGCAGUCAUUUUCUUAUGGUGAGCUUGAGAAAGCUACUGAUGGUUUCAGGGAAGAGCUGGGCAGGGGUUCAAUUGGAGCAGUUUAUAAAGGGAAAAUAAAUGGAGGUGAAAAAACUGUUGCUAUUAAGAGACUGGAGAAAGUUACAGACCGAGGGGAAAAAAAUUUGCAGGCCGAAAUAACCAUCAUUGGACAAACUUACCACAGGAACUUGGUUCGACUGCUUGGUUUUUGUUUUGACCGCUCUAGGAGGUUUCUCGUCUAUGAGUACUUGAAGAACGGCACACUUGCAGAUCUUCUGUUCACGGCUGAGAGGCGCCCAGUUUGGAAAGAAAGAAUGAGGAUUGCUCUAGACAUAGCUCGAGGAAUUCUCUAUCUACAUGAAGAGUGUGAGGCCUGCAUCAUCCAUGGCAAUAUAACCCCUCAAAACAUUCUCAUGGAUGAUUCUUGGAUAGCAAAAAUCUCCGAUUUCGGGUUAUCAAACCUAUUGUAUCCGGACAAGGUAAGAAGCUCCAUGGCCCUCCUCUCACAUAGUAGAGGGCACUUGGCACCGGAAUGGCAGAACGAUGCCUUGAUAUCAAUAAAAGCUGAUAUUUACAGCUUUGGAGUUGUGCUUCUGGAAAUCAUCUGUUGUAGAAGCAGUAUAAAAGCAGACGUUUCGACAGAAGAUGAAAUGAUUCUUUCCAGGUGGACAUAUCAAUGCUUUGUAGCUGGACAGCUGGAUAUACUUCUAAAGGAUGAACAUGUAGAAUACGAGUCAUUGGAAAGAAUGGUGAAGAUUGGACUAUGGUGUGUUCAGAGUGAUCCGGCUUCGCGUCCCUCUAUCAAGAAUGUGAUUUUGAUGCUAGAAGGAUCCGAAGAAAUUCCAAAUCCUCCAUCUCUUGCUCCGCCAGUCCUUACCACUCCAUAGUCUACAAAUAAUUGUCCUAGUGUUUUAUGCAUAACUUGUAUGUAUGGAACCAUGUAUUUGUGUGUUAAAUGGCUGUUCUAUAAGGUUGUUUUGUAUCUGUGUGAGAAACACCUUUAAAAAUGUUAUCUUUGUUGUUCUUUUUUCCUCCAACAUACUCUGAUGUGGUGUUGGAAACGUAUAUUUGUCUGAAAAGAAUUCCAACUUAUGGUUAUGAAAUUGUCUAAUUUUUAUGUCUCGAAUGGUGUUAUGGCAAAAUCCCAACUUUUUUAUUUUGGAUUUCUUCAAAUGAACUCAAGUCGUAUCAAUGGCAAAAUUAUUCUUUUAUGAAGCUGGAAAAUGAAAUUGCAGAGAGUUCAUUAGCAGGAUCCAUACAUAUACAACAUAUGAUGCUAAAAAGCAUCUAGUUGGUUUGAUUAUGGGGCUGUUUAUAAAACAUGUUCUUAGAAACAAUGUUGGAAGAUGGAAAGGUUCAACAAAGCUUAAGGGUUUUAAAAAUACUUUUAAAAAAUUUUAAAUUUUAUUUAUAUAACAAAAAUAAUUUUUAAACAGUGUCCUGCAGCCUGCCGUAACUACUUUAGCAGUGUUCUCAAACCGGGCCCCGCUCAUGGCCCAGCUCUUAUGCAGCGACGUAAGAUAAUUGCAUAUACUCCUACACAAUUAAAGCUGAUCUAAAAAUAAUUGAAAACUUGAAAAAAAUAUUGUUUUUUUUUUAUAAAAAAAACGUUGAUGGGAUCUCAUCUAGACUUUGAUAAGAUCACCUAAUUGAGAUGCUAAGUCUACUGGGUUUCUCAGACCACCUAAUUGAGAUGCCAAGUCUACUGGGUUUCUCUGAAUCAACUGCAUGGUCGGUCUGAAAGAAAUCCCAACUUUGUUCAGGGCCAGGUAAAUGAAUCUUUGAGAUUAUUUGCAGGGCUGAGCUGGGUUUUGAGAGUACUCUAGCACUUAUGAGAAGAGGAAAAGGUUUUAAUGGAGUUGAAGGGAGGCGUGUCAAUCUUUUUUUAUCACUGUCCAAGGUUGACUGAUGCAAGUGGGUUUGAUCACUCCGUUGUGAAUCUGUCAUAAUUAGGAGGCUAGGAGGAUAGUUUCUCAAAGAUAUUUAUGGUAAAAGAGCUUUUCUUUUUUUUAAAUUUACUAAUUUGUUUAAGUUAGUUUUUGAGUUUAUUUAAAAAGUUAUUUAAAAUUAUUUUGUGUAGUGAUUCUAUUCAGAUUUUAAAAAAAAAAAUGGCACAUUUUUAUUUUAAUAUUGAUAAAAUAACACAAUUUAACAAAAAAAAUAGUAAAAUAGAACAACUUAUACAUGUUGCGAUAAUAAAACAUGACAUUCUUACUUAUUAUUAUUCAGAAUCGUGAUUUUUUAAAAACAAAAAAACUAGUGAUAUGUGUUGCACAUGAAGAUAGAUAAGAGGGGGAAAAAAAAGAAACACACCCUAGAAGCACAUUGAAGCUCCGAGUACGACAUCACAUUACUGGUACCAUCAAAAAAAUCUUGACAAUACAAAUCCAACAACACUAAAAAAAAUCACCAAUGGUUACCCGAGUGUGUCACACUUGCUGCUCAAAGGUGGCGAGUAACUCACUAGCCUUGACAACAAGUGUGACCCACUCAUGUCACUAUUAGUGACAUUCCUUUGUAUCUUCGAAUUCAUCUCGUCAAAAUCUUUUUUAUAGUAAAUGUAGUAUUGUAAUUGGAGUUUUGAUUUGUCUCUAGUUCUUUUUUUUUUCUCCUCUCAUCUCACCUCAUUGUAAUUUGUGAAGAGAAAAAAGAGACACAUAAAAUCCAACAACACAAAGGAAGGUCAGCAACAAUGACCCGAGUAAACCACACAUACAAUCAAAGAUAAAUGAGUUACCCUUCAUCUUUGGACGACAAGUGUAACACACUUGGAUCAUUGUUAGUGAUUUUUUUUUAUAUCGUUAAAUUUGUCUCAUUGAGAUCUUCUUGAUUGUUCCAUUGAUGUCAUAAUCAGAGUUUCGGCAUAUCUCUGGAGUUUCUUUUUAUAUUGUUUCUUCUACUAUCGAGGCUUGAAGCAUUUCUUCUGGCAGGCGAUAUUGGUCCGUGUGAGCUUUCUCUAUGACCACUGAUCUUCGCAAGGGACACCAAAUGUGAAUGUGAACAGUUCUUCUAUUUUCAUUCCUGAGGUAGCUCAGAUCCGUUAUAGCAAGAAUAAACCAUAAAGCAAAAUUAGUAAAUGUCAUUGUUAACGAUAUCAAACGUGGUAAGAAUUGAUUUAAGAAAGGAUACAAUCAAUUCAAAUGAUGCAUUGAGCAUUGAAUCAAGGCUAGCUUUAUAGUUAGCAGAAGAAGAAAAUACCUGUGACAGACUAUGUGUUGCGUAUCAGGAAAAGAGAUUGUCUGAAAAGGAAAGGUUUUGGUGGAGGGAUUGGUGUCGGAGGGAGCUGACUGAGCUGGAAGCAGUCAAUAUUCAAGCCAGCCGUGGGGUGAUAACAAUUUCCAAAGCACCACCAAUUGAAUGUCGAAGUCCUGUGACAGAAAACUUUUUCCGGCAGCUGAUGAAAAUGGGAGAACAGAUCGAUGAAGUUAUAUUUUAUCAGUCGCUUUGUACCAGGUGGAAUGAACGCUUGUUUUCAAAGGGCCAUUGCUUUUGAAAAAGAAGAGAUGAUUCGGGCCAGUUAGCCAUGAGAAGAUUGUUUUUGCUGUGCGGAUGAAGUGAUAAAAGUUGCAAGGGGGUGAAGUUCUAUGUUACUAGCUGAUAGUUUAGGAAUUAUGGAAAAAACUAAAAGAGGUAGAGGUUUUCCUGUGUAAAAAUUAUAGAUCACUGUGGAUUUAGUGAUUUUUUUGUUUUGAAACUUUUUGUUUGUGAUUUGAGCAUGUUAUGGCCAACUUGAUGGACGAUGACGUCUGAUGUAUUUAUAAGGAUGAGCAAAAUUAAAAGAUGGAGGACCAAAAUGAAAACAAAAUAGAGAAACAAGUGGCACUUUUAAACUAGACUUGAAAAGUUGAUUUUGGUCCUUAUACAUUUCAAUUAAUACAUUUAAAGUUCUUUUAGUUUUUGAAAAUUUAUUUUUGACCUAAAACUUUAUUUUUUUUACUUUUUAGUCUCUUGAUUUGAAAUUAGAAAGAGAUAAUCAUUGUAUUAUAGUUAAAAAUAAAGAAAGUUGUUGUAAGUACCUAUUCCAUCUACAGAAAUGAUCGAUAGUUCUUUCGCCUUUAUCCUUGUCUAAGAAACUAAGAAAGUAGAUCUAGGGGUAAAAAAGUUUUUGGAAUUUGAGUUUUUCUUACUAUUUUUUAGGUUGUUUAAUGCCAUGUGUGGGUUUAUUCUGAUGUUUUAAAGGUGUUUUUUUUUAAUAAUUUAUAUAUAUAUAUAAUAGCUUAACCGUUGUUUUCUGGUGAACCUUCAUUUUUUGAAAUCUGUAACUUAUAAUUUACGUAGAUUUUUUUAAUAAAAAUAGUUGCCUGCCCUCUAAUAUUGAAAAAAAUAAAAGGCAUAGCAUGUGGUCAAGUCUUUUUUUUAAUGGUUUCUGCAUUUUACUGUUGGAUUCAUUCAAAUAAAAAAAAUAUUAAGUAACAUUGAAUUUUUAAUUUUGUUAUGAGUUCAUAGCCUUUUUAUUAUAUUAUAAAGCACUCGUUUUUUAAGAAUUUUCAUGAUUUUUUUAAAAUUUAUUUAAUCACAAAAAGAAUAUUAGUUGUUUUUUAAUUGAAUACCAUUCAAUUUUAUUUUAUUUUUUCCAGAAAAGUGAUUUGCAUAGCGAGACCGUAUUUCUCACACUCUUAGGCCUGCUCUUGCAAGCCCUUGUAUGUUUGCCCAUUGUUUUGGGCUACAAAGGGCCCAUAUUUCUUAUACUUAUGGGUUAUUUUUUACAGUAUUAUUUUUGUUUUUUAUUUUAUUUAAAUAAAAUAACUAAAUUUAUUUUUAAAUUUUUCUUGAAUGUUAUCAUUAUAUUUUUUUAUAUUAGCAGGCCCUAUUUUUGUAAUGUCUUUCAUGAUUUUUUCUAGUUUUUUCUUUAAAUUUAAUCAAAAUUAAUUAAGAUUUAAUAAAUGCUAUUAUACUUGAGAUAUUAUUUAAUUAAAUAAUCAAUUGAAUCAUCUCAAAUUUUAGUUGUCAAUUUAACAUUUCUUGACACCAAAUUAUUUUAUUAAAGGCAUGCAUCAUCUCUGCAAUUCAAAAUUACGAUUUUCCUUGGUGGCGCAAGAAACAUUGCCAAUAUGUUCAUGGCUGCGGAUGUAGACUGCAUGUGGUAAAUAUACCGCGCAAUAUGUAGUUUUAUCCUUUUUUAUAUAUAAAAAUGUCUUAAAUUUGAUUUGAGGCCACGAAUUUUUAAUUGAGUGUUUGGAAAUGCGAUGUAAAAUGUAUUUUUUAAAUUGUAUUUUUAAAAUUUUUGAUUUUUUUAUUUAAAAUUAAAAAAAUAAAUUUUUAGAUUGUUUUGAUGUAUUGCUAUUAAAAAUAAUUUUUUUAAAAAUAAUUUUUUUUAUUUUAAUAUAUUUUUAAAUAAAAAAAUAUUUUAAACCAUCACCACUACCAUAAUCUUAAAAUCUUCCCCACCACCUUAGGCACAACUGUCGUUGGGAAUGUAGAUAAAAGAAAGUUGAAAGAAAGGAGCAUAACAAGCAAGCUCAUAAACAUUCAAUGGAGAUUUGGAGGGACAAGAGGGAAGAUUUGAUUGCAUAAACAAAAAUUAGAUUCCUAAAGCAUAAGCAAAGAUACGAUUAACUUUGAAAAUUCCAAUUACAAAGUACUAAUCUCAGCAAAAUAGAGAGAAACCGUGCAACUGAAGCCCAGUUUCUUAUGGCUUCCCAUGACAUAAAGUUUGGUAAAGGGACAUAAUCAAUGACCAUCUGCUUCAUUCACAAGAUAACCAGCCAAUAAUCAUCUUCUCAAGUACAAAAGCAGAAAAAUUCCAGCAAACUUCAACCAUAUAAAGUUUGCCCUGCGCCCUUCGAGCAAAGAAGGUGCUGGCGACUUAGCAGCAGAUCUGCAAAUACCCUCCAAAAGGGCGUUUCACUUUAGAAUGCUAACGUCGAUUCUCUUUCACACACUUUUUUUUUUUAAUAUAUAGAAGAAGAGGAAACUAGCGUGUGGAGAAGAACAUAUAUAUAUAUAUAGAGAGAGAGAGAGAGAAACAAAAGUAGAAGAGCAUACCCAGGUGCAGCAUAGCUACAUUUUCCAUGACCUGCACAUUAAAAAUUGUAGAUUAGUCAUGGUCCCAAUCGAAUUAGUAGUAACAUACCUGGUUCAUCUCAACGGGCCGGCUUGGCAGUUCAAGUCGAUGAUCUACCUACUGAGAGCCUAGCUCAGGCUGAGCCGGGUUGAUCACGAUCUGCAACCCGAGCCUGAGCCAGGUCAACUCUGAAUCGGGGUCCUAUAACUAUGCAUCUAAGUGAUAAACUUACUGCGGAUCAGAGUGUCUAAUAAUUCUUUGGCUAGGUUGCUGGUUAACUAAUCUUCAAAAAGAAAAAACUGGUCAACAUUUUCCUAUGACUACAAGCAACAUAAAGUGAGAGUCCUGCUUCAAAAUGGCGUGCUUGAAGAAACAUAAGGGAAGCCUAAUUGCUGAGAACACUCAAAAUGUUCCCGUUUUUUUUCCAAACAUCAUUCUCAUCAAAAUUAAUAGAAACGAAAGGUCAUAUUUGAUGCAUAAAUUCGAAGAUCCUCAUUAAAGGAAUCAAGUUCUACUCUGUUCUUCUGUACAUCAUCAAGAAAAGAACGAACAGCUAAAUAAAGUAAACGAAAAGAAGGUGAAGGCAAGAGAUUUCUUACUAGGAUCCCUUCUAGUUAAAACAGCAGUUCCUCCGAAAUUGCAAGCAAUUUCAGAAUUCUCAUUUUGUUGGUAAUAGUUGUUGAAAGCAUAGGAGGCAUGAGAAACUAGCGUGUCAGGAUCAAAACACGCUCCACCCUCUUGGAUUGGACUGCAAUCUGUCAUGCCUAGACCACAGGUCCAGUCUAAUGCAUUCUGCAAAUCAAUUUGAGAGACACCUGACAGGGCAACACACCAUGUUGUGCCUCCAAGAAAAGUUGUGUUGCUCUCUGGAGGUGACAGUGUUGUGACUGGGAUCGCAGAUUCUGCUUUCUCUUGCGUUGCAGUCUCCAUUGUCAGGACUAAGUUCAGGCAAAGAAAAUAAAAGGGCCAAAAAAAAAUCAGAAAGAGAACAAAUAAGCAAUUGUUAGAAUAAUAUUUUCAUUAUAUAAACCAAUGAUUAAAUUCCAGGAAUCCUGAAGAGAAUGAAAUCUAAGACACACAGUAAUAUAUACUUCUAUGUAAAUUCAUGUCAUGUAGUCAAUAUUUCUGGUAUCCACCAGUAUGCAUUACUUCUUACCAAAAUUGGCGUUUAAGGAAAAAAAAAGGGGUAUGUGCAAGAGGUUUGACCAUAGAAAUGAAGAACAGAGAAGAAAUGUUUUUAUCAAGUUAUUACCAGAGAGAAAGGGUAUGCACAGAACUACAACAUAGAAGCCAUGAUUGAAUUAAUUCAACGUUAGCCCCACAAACCACAGACAUAACCAAGGCAAAGACAUGAAACAGGGGAGAAAACAUACCUAGAUAACAUUGCAGCAGCAAGAGACAUGGCAGAACCAGCACUUUGUUUCUCAUUGUAAAAUCCUUGAAGCCUUGAUGAGGACUCUUCUCAAGUCUUAACUCUCUACUGACAACACAAACACACACUCUCUCUUCCUCGGUGCUAAUGGGAGUAAUAUCAGCACUAAUAAAGAAAUCUUAUUCGUAUUGCUGGGAGAGUUUCAAGGGAAUCCAGCAGUUUCUUCAAGGGAAAUUACGUCUUUUUCCUUUUUGGGGCUUUAACACAGUAGGCAGUAGUGUGAUGCAAGAAAUACUACUACUUUUGUUCAGUGUCUAAAUCAUAGUUUUGACAACCGGUCCGGCCUGACGGAUAGACCCGGAUUUCGGCUGAUCUGGGGUAGAAACCGAGCCGAGUUAAAGAAAAAACAGGGAAAGAAAAUAUUCUAAUAUGAUCUAAUUGACUCAGCGGGUUGACCCGGUAAAAUUUGGCUGCAAACCUAUUAAUUUUUAUUUUUUUAUUAAAAUAAUAUUAUUUUAAUUUUAAAAUAUAAAAAAAUAAUCUGGUAAAAAUCUAAAACCGAGAUAUUGAACCAAACUGGUUAGCAGACUACGUCUUAAAACUAUAGUAUAAAGUGCUUGCCUGCCUUUGACAUGCCACAUUAGGCUUGCAGGGGCCAUGAAAUACUCGCACGAAAUUCAAGCUUUCGCAUCCAUAAAGAUAAAUCUUGUUUGCCCCCUGAAUUUUUCCCUUUAAUCCAUCUCCAUCCGUUGAACUGACCGGAUUCAUGAUAAGUUUUAAAAUAGUUUUAAUCAAAUAUCCAUCCUUCAAUAAUAUUAAAAUUAAUUAAUAAAACUUGUUUCAUCAAAAUCUAUAUAUAUAUAAAAGCCUUGCAAACACUCAUGCAAUCAAUUAAUUAAAUAUUAAAUGGAUUAAUUCUUUCUUAGAGAACAGAUAACUUAUGAUUUGUACAAAAAUAUAGUUUAAACCUUAUAGUUUGAAAACGAGAAUAUGAAAAGAUGGUGUCAAGCUAACUUGUUAUGAUUUCAUUAAAAUAUUUAAACCUUAUAGUUUGACCUUUUGCACUCGUAUCAAUAUUUCUCUAACAUUUAAAGUUUAUAAAAAUUGAGAAAUCUAGCGUAAAAAAAGAAGAUCAUGUAACCAUAAUUGAAAAAACAAGAUUGUUAAUGUCAUUGAAGAAUGAGUUUUUUUAUUAAUAUUUUUUCAAAAGUUCAGGAGGUCAAUUUGAGAAAUAAAGAAUGACUUGUGGUCAGAUCCUUUAGCUUCAUGAAUUGAGAUGGACCAAACGGAAGAAUUGAGACUUCCAUGGAAACUCAGAGAGGUAAUUGAUACAAACAAAAGAUUGGGGGAGAAAUUGAGACGCCCUCAAAACCUGUAGGUAUCGGAGGGCAGGUAAAAUUUAUGGGGUGUUUGAAAAUAUAAUAGCAAUUAUAUUUUUAAAGUGUUUUUUGUUUGGAAAUAUAUUAAAAUAAUAUAUUUUUUAUUUUAAAAAAUUAUUUUUGACAUUAUCGAAUUAAAGUGAUAUAAAAACAUUAAAAAAUAUUAAUUUGAAAUAAAGAAAAAAAUAAAAUAAAAAUUAUUUUUUUAAUAUAAAAAAAUAUUAAUGUAAAAUAAAAUAUGAAAAUAGCAUUGAAUCUUUAGGUUAUCACAGAUAAAAGCCACAGCUUUCAACCAUAUCCCUGCCCAUCCAAAGCCCAUAUAGCAGAUUCUUGAAGAUGUUUAUGUUAAGACUGUUCAGCUGAAGAUAUAUGAAUGAAGAAGAAAAAAAGAGAAAAAUCUAUAUGAGAAAAGAUAGAGUUCUAUAAAUUCUGAUUAACUUUUGGACUUACAGCACAAGGUGUUGAUGCAAAAAUUAUUUAAAGCCCUAGACAAAUUUAUCUUUCAUUAAAUUGAAAAUGACAAAAAAAAAAAAUUAUAUUUAGAUUUGGUAAUUUUUCAAUGAAAUAUGAAAUCCAUUUGAAAUGGAAUUAAAAACUCAUUGAUUUAAGAGAUGGGACUCCAACAUUAUAUUUUCUAUUAAGCAUGUAUAAACCUCGUUCCAUAAAAAUUUAAUUUUUUUUAAAAAAAAAUUAUAGUUUUUUUAUAUUUUAAAUUGUUUUGAUACACUAAUUUUAAAAAUAAGUUUUUAAAACUUAAAAAAAUAUUAUUUUAAUAUAUUUUAAUAUAAAAUAAUAUCUUAAAAAAUAAUUAUAAUUGCACUCUCAAACCACAAUAUAAACCUGAGCUCAAAUACAACAAAAUUCUAUUGAAAUGGGCUACUGAAAUCCACUUGUAUUAUUGUUAGUUUUGAUGUUGUCCGACGCCCUUGCACAAAAUGGAGGAUAGACGACUCCCUUUUUUUUGGUGAAGUAACUUUUAUAUCUUUUUUGUUUUUAUAUUUUAAAAAAAAAUUAAAAAAAUUUAAUUUAUUUAAAUUAAUAUUUUUUAUAUAUUUUUAGAUUAUUUUGGUAAGCUGGUGUUUUUAAAUUAUUUUAAAUAAGUUUUUUUUUUUAAAAAAAUAUUAUUUUAAAAUAUUUUAAAAUAAAAAAUAAUGUUAUAACACGCUAAAACAUAUCUUUUAAUUUUAAAGAGAGAAUACAGAGAACAUGAUUUUGUGAUCCUUGAAACUUUUGUAAAGCAUGGUGUUUUCUGUUGAAAUUCAUUCGUUAAAACAUGUGGACACAGGAAGUAGUGUUUCAAUUCCAUCAUAGCUUGUAGCCCAAUCAAGCUGCUGGUUAGCACUGUCUUUUUUUUCUUUCCGUGCUUGCUUCUCACGGUUAUGUUUUGUUCGGUAAUAAUAUUUAAUUUGAUUUUUAAAUUUUUUUAUGAUUUUGAUAUACUAACAUUAAGAAUUGAUUAAUUAGCUAUAAAUUAUAAAUAUAAAUAAAUAAAUUACCAUGGAUUACCAAAUACACACCAAACUUGUUAGUUUAAUAUACUUAUUACUAAUUGGUUAGUUUAUACGUGUUAUUAUUAUAUAUAUUUAUAUAAAUAUAUAUUUAUUGUUAAUAAAAGCUUAAUUUAUUUUUAAUAUUUAUAUAAUAUUAGAUUAAUAAGUAUAAUAUUUAAUUUAUAAAUUUAAAAUAAAAAUAAAAUUUAUAAAACAAAAAUACUUUACAAAUUCACCGUAAACAAGAAACCGGAGAAGUCCUAGCACCAUGAAAUGGACUUUGUUACGCGUUUUCGAGACUUGUUGGUCAAUCAGUGCUGGCAUUAUGGUUGUCUUCCAUCAGUGUGGUCGCAUGAUUUUAUGUAUGUUCACACAUCUUUUUUUAAAAAAGUUUUGGCAUAAAACGUAUGGUUUCCAUCACGAAAAUAGAUAAUAAAGACUUUGUUGUUUUUGUAAUUUAAAAAUAUUUUUAUUUUUUUAUUUUAAAUUAAUAUAUUUUUUAUAUUUUCAGAUUAUUUUUAAUAUUCCGAUAUCAAAAAUAAUUUUUAAAAAAAUAUUAUUUUAAUAUAUUUUUAAAUAAAAAAAUAUUUUAAAAAAUAAUUAUAACUAUAUUUCCCAACAUCCCAAAAACUAAAAGAGUUUUGGAACCUUGCAAGCUACAGGAACUGCAUUUCAUGUGCGCAGUGGACAAAAGUGGUAAUUGGAUUUGUUUUCCACGUUAUGCUAAAUCGAGGAAAGACGUGUUCUUGGUUUGGAAAAGAUGAUGUCGUUUUUCUAAAGUAAUUUUAAAUAAAAAUAAUUUUUUUAUUUUAUAUAUUUUGACUGAUUGAUAUUAAAAAUAAUUUUUAAAAAAUAAAAAAUAUAUUAUUUUACUAUAUUUUUAAAAAUAAAUAUUUUAAAAAAUAAUCACUCCCCAAACUAAAUAACUCGUAAUUAUUAAAUCAAAUAAAAUAUCACGUCGAAUAAUUAUAGUUUAAAUUCUACAUGAUUCUCUUCCUGAUGUACUAGAUGUACGGUAGUAAAUACAAACAGAUUAGCUCACUGAUCUUCCGGCAAAUCAAUUAAUUUGAUGGCAACUUACUCCUAUGUACGGUACCAACAGUUCAAUCGGACAUGAUAUGACUUAUUUUAAAAUUCCUUUUAAUAAUUUAAAUUAUUAGAUUAAAAUAACGUUUUUAUAUAAUAUCAAAAAUUUAAUAACCAGUUUGAAUUCAAACCUCACCGUAACCAUUGCAUUUUAGCUAGGAAAUUGCCUUGUAAAAACUGGAGAAGAAAGGAGGGAAGAUCCUGGCCUCAUCUUAUUCUUUAUAAGGAGCUCGCUCUUGAGACAUAGAACACCAACAAACGUUGUUUACAGUGCUAAAGACUAGAAACUUUGAUGGCAACAGUUUUUUUCGUGAUCUUCAUAUACCUAUUCUCCGCAGCAAAAUCACAAUCCAACAUAACAAAAGGCUCCACUCUUUUCACCAAUUCCUCUCCAAACUUCUGGCCUUCUCCUUCUGGUCAUUUCGCGUUCGGAUUUUAUCCUAGUGGCAAUGGCUUCAAGGUGGGCACUUGGCUCACCGGAAGGCCAAGAAACACAGUUGUGUGGACCGCACAGCGAAACGAACCUGCAGUCUUACCAGGGGCGAGCCUUGUUUUCACCUCAGAUGGUAGGCUUGUUGUACAGAACUUUACCGGAGUUCAGUUGAUAGCCGGAACCGAUCAAAGGGCACAAGUUGCUGCAAUGCAUGAUUCAGGCAACUUUUUGCUUUAUGGCUCCGACAUGGAGGUUGUAUGGGCUACUUUCCGAUUCCCUACCAACACCCUUUUGGUAACACAAGAACUGGGUCCUGACAAGAUUCUAUAUUCAAGCAAAUCUGAUGAUGAUGAUUCUGCUGGAAAUUUUAAGCUAUGGAUGCAAGGAGAUGGAAAUCUCGUUGCUUAUCCAUCAAAAAGUUUGCAAAUGGCUAAAUAUUUUUAUUGGUCAUCACACUCUACAAACAUAGCACCGGACGUAUCUUUAACUUUCGCAGCAGAUAGCAGAUUGUAUCUUGCGAACUCAACAGGGUUUACCGUCAGGAAUUUGACAGAAGGUAGACUUCCAGUCAAUAAGACCACAUUGUAUCGAGCAACAUUUGAUGUUGAUGGCGUUUUAAGGCUUUACCAACAUCAAAUGGGAACUAAUGGAAGCUUGAAUUCCAAUGUCUUAUGGUCAGCAAUAAAUGGAGAAGAUCGUUGCUCGGUGAAAGGCGCUUGCGGGCUUAACAGCUAUUGUGCUAACAAUGGCGCAGACAAUAUUGCCUGCUUAUGUCCUCCUGGUUUCGAUUUUGUUGAUCCCAACCAGACCGAUAAGGGCUGCAAGUUAAAUUUCAGCAAUAGCGACUGUUUUCUAAAAGGAGCUAAUGACAACUACAUGAUUUCCACGCUAGAAAACACUGUCUGGGAACGAGACGAGUUCGAAGUUUUGACGCCUGUGAGUGAAGAAGCAUGUUCAAAAGCUUGCCUGGAGGAUUGCUAUUGUGUGGUGGCCAUGUUUAGGGACCCAACCUGCUUUAAGCCAAAGCUUCCAUUGAGGUAUGGAAUGAAAAAUAGCAGUAUUCCUACCAAGUCAUUUGUUAAGGUUAGGUUAACCAGUACAAAAAACGUCAUCACAAAGAAGAUUGGCAAGGAACUCCUAAUUACUGGAGUGGUUUUGAUUGCCUUUUCUUUUGUGAUAUUUGCAUCAUCUGGUUAUCUUAUAUACACGCAUCAGAUUUGGAGCUUGAAGGUGAUGACAAGCCAAGAUCGUCCACCGGAUGUCCUUGGAGAUAUCAAUUUGACGUCAUUUAGCUAUCAUCAACUUGCGGUAGCUACCGAAGACUUCAUGGAAGAGAUUGGUAAAGGGGCGUCAGGGAGGGUCUAUAAAGGCUCGCUGCCGGAGAAUGGUGGGAAAGAAAUAGCAGUGAAGAGGCUAGAGAAGUUGGUGGACGACGGAGAACGGGAGUUCCAAAAUGAAAUGAAGAUAAUUGGGCGAACUCAUCACAAGAACUUGGUGCGUUUGAUUGGCUUUUGCUGCAAGGAUCACAUAGGAUACUUGUGUAUGAGCUCAUGAAAAAUGGUUCAUUAGGGAACCUAAUCUUCAAGGACAAGAAACAACCAAGUUGGAAAGUAAGAACCAAGAUUACUCUAGAGGUAGCAAAAGGGCUUCAUUAUCUACACGAAGAAUGCGAGACCAAGAUCAUCCAUUGUGACAUUAAGCCCCAUAAUGUACUCAUGGAUGAAUCUCUGUCUGCAAAAAUAUCAGAUUUUGGACUGUCCAAGCUCUUAAAACCUGACCAAACAAGAACAUACACGAUUCCAAGAGGCACAAGAGGCUAUGAAGCUCCUGAGUGGCACAGAAACAACACACCUGUCACAACCAAAGCUGAUGUCUAUAGCUUUGGUAUCUUAUUGCUUGAGAUUGUGUCUUGUAGGAAGAACUUGGACUUGUCAGCUCCGGAUGAUGAAAUUAUACUAAUGGACUGGGUUCAGAGGUGCUAUGAAGCUGGCGAGCUAAAGAAAGUGGUCGGUGAAGCAGAGGUGAACUUGGAAGAACUGGAGAAAAUGGUUAAGAUCGGAUUCUGGUGUGUGCAAACAGAGACAGAUUUAAGGCCAACAAUGAAGCAAGUGAUUUUGAUGAUGGAUGGGACUAUAGUUACACCACCUCCUCCUCCUCCACCAAAUUCUUCUGCUAAUAAUUGAAUUGCAGAUUAUGUAAUUUAUUGGAUCAAAUGUAGUGUGGCUGCCAUGAAAUUCAGUUGCAUUUUAUCAAGGUUCUAGUUCAAUAACUUGAGCACAUUCGUUUAACCACUGGAUCAUACCCUCUUUACUCAAGUCAUGCUCUGCUUCGUGGAAGUCUGAACAAGACGUUAACUAAGUUAUUAAAAUUAGUGAAUUAUUGGAAAAUGGGAGAACAUAAUAUAUAUUAACAUUAGUUAAUAUCUUACUAAUUCAAAUAGAAACUCAAUCCAAUUCAAGCAAUUAAUUCCAAUAUUUUUAUGUCAACCCUCCAAAUCAUAGCGUAUACAACUACUCUUGCUUGAGAUGUAUGGUUAUUGAAGGCAACAAUUUCAUAAUAAUAUGAUAUGUAAGUCUUAAUCUACUAUUCAAAAUGUUUUUAUGAUAUUUAGGGAAUAACUAAUAAUAUUUUAUUAGUUAUUUUCUAGGCUUAUUUUUUUAACAAAUAUAAGUAGAAAAAACAUUAAAGUGGAGAUAUUUUUAUCUCUUUAUGUAUUAUGAGUUUUAUUUUUUCUUUACUUUUUGUAUGUUUUUUUCUAAUAAAUAUAAAAAAUAACUAAUAAAAUAUCUUUGAUAAACACUGUAAAAUUUAAUUUUCCGUGUAUGGUUUUUAAAAACCCAAAUUCAUUGAGACCAAUUUGUAAAGGUUAUGGGCCCAGAUGCCUUAACAUGGUCCGGGCCUCAAGCUGUUUAAUUCGUAACUCAGUUUUACUUCUGGCGGGAAAUUCAUUUUUGCGCACCAAAAUAAAAACUUUCAAAAAUCCCAAAAUCCCCUAUCUAAAACACCAAACCCUAAAAUCCCAAAUCUGCUCAACAUCGACAAAUACCAUCAUGCCGAUAAACAAAGAAGAGCAAGAAAUGCAGACAGCGAAACGCGCAUUUGUUAAUGCGCGUGAAGUAGGGAAUCACCAAGAGGAAGCAAGAUGGGCAAAUUUGAUAGGCGAUAUGUAUAAGAACAGAGGGGAGUAUGUGAAGGCAUUGAAAUGGUUACGUAUAGAUUAUGAGAUUUCGAACAAGUACUUGCCUGAGAAGCAGUUGUUGCCUACUUGUCAAUCUAUUGGAGAUGUUUAUCUCAGACUUCAUGAUUUCAAGCAUGCUUUGGUUUACCAGGUUAGAUUUCUGAAUUGGAUCACUUUUUUUUUUUUUGAGAAAAUGAAAAUUUGGUUUUAUUUUGUUUUUUGGGAAAUGAGAAGUGCGUUUUGGAUUUUGGGUGAGGGGAAUUGAUGGGAAGUUUAACAUUUUGAGGGGAAUUUGGGGGUUUUGUUUGUUCUAAUUUGUGAUUUUAGGGUUUGAUUCUGGUCAGAUUAUGAUUUUUUUUUUCUUUUUGAUAGAAUAAAAGGAGAAUUGGGUUUUUUUUGGGGGGGGGUGGUGGUGGUUGGGUGUUGAGAAUUGAAGGAAAUUUGAUUUUUGUUUUUUUUUUUUGAAAAGAAUGUAUAAUUUGUGAGGAUUAAAUUGUAAAUUUUAUACAAUUUGUUGGCUUCUAAGAAAAUGGGAGAAAUUAUGAUGGUUUGAGUUGUGAGUUUUGAAAUGUCUGCUGGAAUGGAUAUUAAUAGAAAUAGCUGAAUGGAGGUGAUUCUUCUUCUUCUUCUUUUUCUUGGCGUUUUAAACUAUCAAGAGGUUUUUUGUUUAUAGCUCUUCAGUUUUUGGAUCAAGGGAAGAUAUGACUUGUCUAAAAGCCGGGUUGUUAAACUUUGAAAAAUAUUUAAAUAAAGGGUUAUAGCAGGAUUUACUUGUUAACUUUGAGUAAAUUUCUGCUUUAAAAGCAAAGGUUGCAAGUAAGUGGAUCUGUUAUCAAUAUGGAUUAUUAAAAGGUGAUUCAUUAUUGCAGAAAAAGCAUUUGGAUCUUGCCAAGGAUGCCAACGACCUUGUUGAACAGCAAAGAGCCAGCACCCAGCUUGGUCGAACAUACCAUGAAAUGUUCUUAAAAUCUGACAAUGACCAUUCUUCAAUUCGGAAUGCCAAGAAGUACUUCAAGUCAGCCAUGAAGCUAGCUCAGUCUCUCAAGGAAAAUCCACAUUCUAAUAAAUCGUCUUUCCUCAAAGAAUAUAUAGAUGCCCAUAAUAAUAUAGGAAUGAUUGAAAUGGAUCUUGAUAACUUGGAAGAAGCCAAGAAAAUACUUACUAGAGGACUAGAAAUAUGCAAUGAGGAAGAAGUUGAUGCAGAUGAUGAUGGUCGGAGCAGGCUCCAUCACAAUCUUGGAAAUGUUUACAUGGAGCUGAAGGUGUGGGAUAAGGCUCAGGAACACAUUAAAAAAGAUAUUAGAAUUUGUAAUAGAAUAGGGCAUUGCCAAGGGGAGGCAAAAGGGUACAUCAAUCUUGGUGAAUUGCAUUACAGGGCUCAAAAGUAUGAGGAAGCAAAUCUUUGCUAUCAUAAGGCACUUGAUCUGGCAAAAUCCAUGGAAGAUGAGGAUGCUUUGGUCAAGGAAAUUGGUCAUAAUAUUGGAACUGUAAAAGAAGCUAUGAAGGUGAUGGAUGAAUUGAAGAAAGAAGAGCAGAAUCUUAAAAAGUUAACUAGAAGUAUGGUCACUGCAAGGGGAACACAUCAUGAGCGGAAGUGUUUGCUGCAGCAGAAUGCAUCCCUUGAUUGCCUCAUUGAGAAGUCGAGCAUUAUACUUGCAUGGUCAAAGGUAGCUGCUCUACCAUACAUAUUGUAAACUUCUAAUAGCUUUGCCAAUAUCUAGCGGCUCUUAGAACAUAUUCUAAUAGUUAUUUACUGCAUUAAAAAUUGGGAACAUAUCUACAUGAGAUGCUUUCAUUUUAUGUGUCCCCUUGCUAGCUUUGAUCAUCUCACUGUGCUCUUCUUAGAGAGAAUCUACACAUUAAUGCUGUCCUAAGUUAACAGAAAUUGAAUUUCUAAGAUAUUUUUGAAACAGAUCUAGUUAAAUUUCAUUAACUUGUUUGAGCUAGGAUUUAGUAUGGUGUCAUUUACAUAUUUUGAAGUGUUAAAAUAACUUUCUAUUUUUUAUUGUAUGUUGUUUUUAGCCAAAAGAGAAACUUUCCACUAAAUUGAUUAUACAUGGCAUGUGUCUCUGCCCCCCACCCUUCUAUUUUGUGAUUUUAAACUGAGCAAUUUUGUGAUGUUAUAUGUCUAGCAUCAUGAAUUUGCAAAAAGGAAGAAGAGAAUAGCUAGUGAACUCUGUGAUAAAGAGAAGCUGGGCGAUUCAUUUCUACUUCUUGGAGAAUCAUACCAGAAGCUCAGAAAAUUCAAGAAAGCCAUUAAAUGGUUCAUGAAGAGUUGGGAGACAUACAAGUCAAUCAGCAACUUGGAGGUAAUUUUGUAGGUUCUAUGGUCCUUUCAUAUGCUAGCUCUCCUGUAUACCUGUUAAUAAACUUAUGGUUGAUUGAGGGGAGCCUUUCAAUUUAGCUUGAGCUACUUGGUAUAAGAGUUGGCACACAUGCAAGUCAAGAUGCACUUUAUGUUUGACAGUCAAAGCUCUAACCAUUAACGAUUAUUGAUUUCAGGGUCAAGCAUUAGCAAAAAUUAAUAUUGGUGAUGUUCUGGACUGUGAUGGUGAUUGGAUGGGAGCUCUAAAUGCAUUUGAAGAGGGCUAUAGGUAGUUUUUUCUAACACCUUGUUUUUCUCAGAAACUCCUCUGUUUGAAUUAGAAGAUUCAUGGAGUGUCUAGUAUGACAGUAUUGGUGUUUUAGGCAUAUCAGCAUUCACAAAGUACAUCCUGUUUUUUAAUACAAGGCUCAAAUGCAGCCCAUGUGGGCAAACUGGGAAGUGUGCAUGUGUAUACUGCUGUUUUCAAUACAAUAAGAGGAUAGUAUUUUGAAACAGGGUUUUGCUUGUUUGUAAGCAGUAUUUGGAGUGUUCGGUUAAGAAUGUAACCAAAGACAAAUGCCAUUGGUUCAUCUAGUCUAUAUGGUUAGGAAGGUGCUUUGAUGUGUUCAUGUAUUUUAAACAAAUUAUGAAAGAUCUUUUAUGCUGGAUUUCUCCUCCUCAGAAACUGGAUUGAACCUAUAUUUAAUGUCAGGAUAUGGGUUUUUCGAGGGAGGGUGGGUUGAUGUGAAAGGUGGGUUCUCCAUGAACUCCCUGUUGAAAUGUUGCAUUUCAGUGCACUAUAAUUUCCUUGACUAUCUGUAAACAAAAUAUACUCAAGGUAUUGCCACAUGUAGUUCAUUCCUUAGGGCUUGUGCAUUAAUUUAAUGCAUCAUUACUAAAUUCUGUGAAAUUUUUAAUUGUUGCGCGAUUAUGUUUCUCUUAUCAUUCUCAUAUCAUCCUUAUUUGAUUUAUUAAUUCUUAUCAUCAUUAUCAAAAUGCUUUAGCUACCUCAAAAGUCAUGCCUUUUCCUUUAUAUACAAGGCUUGUUGGAAAUGACCUGCUACAGGAUUUAAAUUAUAUGCAACAGAAGCAUCUGAAGUGCUAAACAGAAUAGAUACUAGUUUGGUGCGAAGCAGCAAACUCGAAUUCGCCAAGAAUCUUAUUACAUGGGCCUGAAAUGACACCCACUUGCUAUGUUAGUAAUUUGAAUUUGCAAGAGUUACAACAAAGGAAAAUAGAAGGACGGGAAAAAUAAAUUUCAGACUAUUCCCUGUGAGGGUCACCUGAAAUCAUUCUGUUAGCAUAGAAAUCAAUUGUCUUGUGGUUGUCUACUUGUACCUAUUUCUUAGGUUUAUAACACCGAGCCUCACUUAUUUUGUUUUCCUAUUAUGCAGGAUUGCUGUUAAUGCUAAUCUUCCCUCUGUUCAGCUUUCAGCAUUAGAGAACAUGCACUAUAGCCACAUGAUAAGAUUUGACAAUGAAGAAGAGGCCAGGUAAAUUUGGAUUAUGCAAGACCUUUCAUCAAUCUAGGCUAGCCACUUGGAAUUAGCUUUGAUGGCUUAGGAAUUUCAACUUUAGAAGUUGAUAACCCAAACACUAGUCUUGCAGUAAAUUGAAGUUUGAAGGUUUUCUUGCAGAGGCACAAAUAUGUACAAUUACUCAAAGAAAGGUUUGCUUUUGUAGGAGGUUGCAGCGUGAAAUUGAGAGGUUAAAGUCCAAAAACACAGAGCUUGAAAGGCAGAAUUUGGCAACGGAUUGCUGCUCUGAGACUGAUACAGAAGGGGAUGAUCACUUGUCAGAUUGUAGAUCUAAUGCAUCCUGCUCCCAAGAAAUUAACAAAUCUGGUUCUACAAGAUCAAAAUCUUUAGCUGGUGCUGAAGGGUUGAAUGAUGAUUUACCUCUGAUCUCCCUCCUUCGGUCCCAUAAAAAUUCUCCCAGAACAAAGUCAACUCAAGAAGAAAUGCAUAAUACUUCUACUUGGCCAACUGAAGCCUCUCCAAAAUGUUUUUCCAAAACAGCUAGUGAUCAGCAGACAGUUCUUAGUCGUAAACGUAUUAGAAUAGUCCUUUCAGAUGAUGAAGAUGAAAUGCAUGGUAAGGUAGACUGCUCCAGAGAAAGGCUCAAUAGAUGCCCACCGGAGGAUGUUGCUACUUCUAAUGGAUGUGGGUUUAAAUUAUUAUUUUUUAAUCAGGAAUGAUGAACUUAUUUAUGAUCUAAAAUUUCAUUUCUAUUAGUACUGAAGUACUUCUUAUUUAAUUGCAGUUAUGGGGGCAAGCAAUCCAGCUAUUUCUGCAUGUGCAUUUCAGGUAUGAAAAUAGAUAGAUCAAAAGCUGACGUUUAUUGUUUCCUUUGUGAAGUUGAUUGUUAAUUGCUUUACACUUUAUUUGGCAGGGUGUAUCAACAGUUGCUUCCAAAUGUGCUACCAGUUCCUGGAAUCCCAAUAACAAUGAAGAAAGCACUUCUUCAUACAAAUCUCAGAGCCCAAAAAUUGUGACUCCCAAAGGCAAAGUUUUCAGAUCUUCAAGCAACAAUGAAGUUGUUUUUGCAUGUGAUCUUGCUGCUAGUGGCUCCAAAUGUGAUGUCUCUGAGAACUUAACGCAUAAAAACAAUGCUGCCCAUCUCAGGUUGCACAAUUCUGAGAAUGAUGAUAAUGUGAGUGUUACAUGUGCUAUUAUUAAUUGUCUUACAAUUGUAAUUUACAAGGGAGAUCAUAGAGACACUCCUCUCCAUCAAUUUUUCAUGAAGUAGGUCUCGACUCUUCAACCUUUUGGUUUCAAACCUGAGAUGCUUACUAUGGAACUAGAUAAAAGCCAACUUUUAGGAGAUAGAGAUAAUGAAGAAUGCUUAUUUAUCACUGUAUUUCCUUUGCUAUAUAAUUAUUUGGUUGUUGUUGCUGUAAAUUGCUAAUAUAAUCUCUUGUACUGACUGCAGCAGUGUAUUGUAUUCAGAAUUGACAAUGACCUGAUACAAGUAGAUGCAGCUUCAUACCUCGCUUUUGAUAAAUUGAGCAUUGAGUCCAUGACUGUUGAGCUGGCCUGUUUGUACUAUUUGCAGCUUCCUACAGAGAAGAGAUCAAAAGGUGGGCAUGACUGUUGGACUUUAUAUGCUUUUAUUUUCUGACAAUCAUAAUUUAGGGCAUAUGAGUUGUAAUCCACACAAAUCUAAUAAAUAACAAUAAAGAAACAAGUUGCAUUUGAUUUACGAGUGGCAGAGUGUAUAUUAAAUGGCAACAAAAAUGGAUUUAAAUGCACCUUCAAACACAUGAUUGUGCACUGUUUAGAAAGGCUAACAAUGAGCAGCGAGCACAAGUCUUUUUUUCAUUUUUUUUCUUCUGUUCAAAAGACAACAAACAAUUUCGCAGGAUUGCAGUGGAAAUCAUGUCAUGUGUAUUCCUAAAGCGAGUUGGCAGAGAGAUUCUUUCUGUGAAGGCUGUGUUGCUCCAAUGUAGCUGAUUUUGGUAUCUAAAUGACCAAUGGUGGUCUUCAUUGGUGCCCAUGCUGAGUUGCAAAUACAUGCUUUACGUUAUAUGCAUAGUGUGAAGUUUUUCUACUGCCCAGCAUAUGAAGCUUAGGCUUCUUUGUUGUACGUGGCACGUGCAUAAGCCUAAAUUGCAUGACAAUGAGCUUUUUGUUUUGCUACGGUCUCAACUGUGCAUAGACUCCCUUUUUUGCACCUUUAUUUGAUUGGGUGUUUUGCCCGACAGUACUUUCCCAAUGCAGAGGAAGUGAAGUCUUGGGUUUAAGUCCUACUCUUGUCAUGCAAAAUUUGAAAAAGAGCGAAGAACAAUGCACAAUUAGAAGGAAUUUCACUCUCCCACAUGUUUAUUUUCUUAAACAUAAAACUAAAACCUUCUCGCAACAACUUAAUUAGAAGAAAUUUCACUCUCCAGCAUGUUUAUUAUUUAACGGUUUUAUUUUCCUUUCUUGGUUAUAUCACUUCUGUUAACACGUGGAUUUUAUCUCAUUAGGUCUCUUGCCCAUCGUUCAGCAUGUGAAAUGUCAUGGAAGAGUUCUAGAUUCCAUAAAAGCAUUUGAAACUCUCAAGGGUGAUCAAGGAAAUAUCCUAAUAGAAGUUUCCAUUAAUGGUAUGUGUUACAACUUCCAAUUUCCUUUCCAUGAUAUAUUUUUUCCGGCCUUCUUUAGUUUCCUUGAAUCUUGAGUAUUCUUACGGUGAAUGUAGUUUGUCAUGCUCUCCCCAAUUCAAAUAUUUUAACUUGUUAGUUCAGGCCUUGUGUACUUGGUAAUAGUCAGCGGAAACUAUUGAUAUUUUAUGUGGCAUUGUUGUUGACAGUCUUGAGGGACUUUUUGGGCAUUCAUUAACAAUCUUGAUAGGAUCAGUUUCACAAUGAGUUGCGGAAUAAAGUACUUUAGAAUAGAGGUACUGGAAAAAAAAAAAUUUAACUUAAGUUGGCACAAAUUGUGUUGAACAUUAUUCUGGCCAACAAGGAUCCUGAUUGAGGAAUUUUACUACUGAAAUAUAUAAGAGCUGUAGAAUGAGAAUGGCAUAAAUAAAACUCCAUGCUUUCAAAUGAUAUUUCUGCCUGAUGCUUGAAGAAAUACUACUUUGGAAGAGAAUCCAACCAGAACAGUUUUCUAAAACUGAUCUUCAACUUUGCUCUCUUAUUCUCUAGUAACUUGAAGAUAGUCAUAAUCGGUAUAGGCAGCAGAACCAUAUUCAGCAACUGUCAACGUAGAUGCUGCUGCUUUAUUCUUUUCAUUUCAAUUUUUUUCCUACUGUCAUGUUCUUUAUUCAAUGAAACAACAGGUUGGGUUCAAAAGCGCUUGAUGAAGCUGUACAUCGACUGCUGCGAGGAGUUAUCAGAGGCACCUAAUAUGAAGUUGCUUAAGAAACUAUACAUUUCAGAGGUAAGCAUGGGGAUAGGUUAGGUGCUGAUUAGUGAAGGGGGAUCUUGUUUUAUUGGUAAUGGCAGGAUAGUGGAUCUCAUUAUCUGUUGGAGUUAUACAUGUACAAAUUGGUUUCUAUUUUGUUGUAUUCAUUUCUUGUGUGCCAGGUAGAGGAUGAAGUCAUUGGAUCUGAAUGUGAAUUGCAAGAUAUAUCAGUAACUCCACUGUUGAAUGCCCUGCAUACCCACAAAACAGUUGCCGUGAUAGACCUUUCCCAUAAUUUUUUGGGUAAUGACAGUUGGCUUUUGAUCGUAAUUUCUAUAUAGAUCUGUUUCUGGAUUACAAAGGGCAUGCUUACUGUUUCUCUGCAUGCUUCUCAGAAAAAAGCUGUUAUUGCAUCAUUGUCCUUGUUAUCUCUUAAAGGAAUGAGGGGUCGUCAAUUUUUCUGCUCUGCUAAUAUUAGCUGUCCAUUGGUUAUUGUCUCUCAGGGAAUGGAACAAUGGAGAAACUUCAACAAUUUCUCACAACAGGGCAAAAAUACGGUGAUUUGACUUUGGAUUUGCAUUGUAAUCGGUUUGGUCCAACUGCUUUAUUUCAGGUAUGUAACUUGUACAGCCUAAUAUUGAUUUAGAGUAUUCUAUCCCCUGCUUGGUUAUUCUCAAGCAUUCAUUGUGACUCUCAAAUCCGAAGGAAUCACAUUCUCAACCAAUUUCAAACGUGGAACUUGGAAAUCUGGACACAAAAUGAUGGCAAUAUUGUGGUUAUUUGUUUAAAGUGCUCUGGACAUUGUCA
Molecule: long non-coding RNA, 63702 nt
Filed under: Populus tremula
Lineage: Eukaryota; Viridiplantae; Streptophyta; Magnoliopsida; Malpighiales; Salicaceae
Description: long non-coding RNA (PTRE_LNC002655)
Source: RNAcentral